UGUGAUUUUUCUUUCUCUACUCCAUUUUGCAUUCUACUUCAACCACAACUCUACUAUUAGGUUUUGGACGUGCCCCUAUUUAUUCUUUAUAUAUAGUUAGCUUUUCAUUAUGAUUUAGAAGAAGUUAGAAACAUUGUAAACACAAAUCUUUGUAUUAUUUUUUCAUAUUAUAAUAAAAUUUCCAUUCUCUACAAAUUAUUUUGUUCUUGUGAUUAAUUACUUCAUAUUAUGGCUACAAUCUCUUAUUUUCCCCAACAGUUUGGUAUUGGAUUAAUCCGGUAUCAUCUUCGUUUGAUAACAAUAAGUCUAUCUCCAUGAGCGUCGAUGAUGGUUUAUCUCCAAAGUGUCUCGACUCGCUACUUAAGACAUUCUUGAAAAUUAAGGAUAUGGGACACGUGGAGUAUUCACAUGUUGAUUUAUAUGAACACGGGAGGAUAUGAAACUUGUAUAUGAAGUUUUUCGCUUAGCCAUAUAGGGUUUUUGGUUCAAAGCUUGUCUACCAUAUCGCUUUGGUUAAUAUUGUUAGAGUUGGUGACUCAAAUUGGAAAGGAAAUCUUGAAGAUGCGUGAUUGAUUUGGAGAAUCAAAUAGUAUUUGAAAAAUAAAGAAACAAAGUUUUUGUCUCGUUUUUUUUUUCUUUUUCACGUUUAACCUAGAAUUCUUACCUUUUUAUGACUCUUUUAGUGCUACACUCUUGUGGUAUAAAUAUGAGUCUCAUCUUUUAGUAUUGUUGAAACAUCAUUACUGUCCAGUUGUAAUUCUCUUCAUAUUAAUAAAAUUCGUCGUUCCUAUGCUUAAUUCAUCUUUUACUUUAAUCUUGUUCGUGGUAUUUUGCAAUCUUGUAUUAUACUUCAAAUUGGUGUCCAUUAAAUCUCAAUUCUUGCGUUUCAUUUCCACCCGGUCCCAACAAGUGAUAUCAGAGCGAGGUUGUUGGUGGAUUUCUGGCCUGAAACUAAUCAAAAAUUGGUCUGAAAAUUACCAGAAAAUCAGAAAAUGAAUCUGUCCAGUUUUUUUCGAUUUUCUACUGGAUCUAUUUGUGCAUUUUUCGAUAAAACUACUUACCUUUUGGAGAAACGAACACCACCAGUGGACUCAGCAAGCAGAGACGGUCCAGAAAGGGUCACAGGUCGUCGGCGCGUUUCUGGUUAGUCGCCGGCGGUGGGAACUUUGACGAGAGAAUGGUGGGGCGUGCGGUGAUUUUCGACGAUGGUGUCUUCAGGCAGUUUUCUCCGAACGACGAGACAGACCUUGUGGUGGUGUCCAAUUUCAGUUUUGGGCAAAAUUGUGGUUCUGGACUGUUUUGCCCCUUGUACGUUCCGAAGUUUUCAGUUUUGGAUGUUGCAAGUUGCAGGCUCUUUGUGAUUUGGUUGAGAUUUUUCAAGAACGAAUUCGUUGAAGUAUGAAAUUCUGCUAUUGGAUCACAAUACAAGAUUUUCGCUGUGGUAAGUAAAGGUGAGAGCUGUGUUGACGCAGAUGGAUCUUGAUGAUGCUUUGCUGGGUUUUGAUAGGAUGUCAGCAAACUUGUCUAUGGAGGAGAAACAACGAAAGGAUCGAAAGGUUUUAGCGCAAGUCCAACUUCAUUUAUCCAACAAUUUGCUGCAAGAUGUUUUGAAGGAGAAGACAGCGGCUGCUUUGUGGCUCAAGCUGGAGCAGUUGUGCAUGACAAAGAGUUUGACGAGCAAACUGACUCUAAAGCAAAGAUUGUAUUCUCAUCGUAUGGUGGAAGGAGGGUCACUAUAGGACCACCUUGCUGUGUUCAAGGAGAUCGUUGCAGAUUUGGAGACGUUGGUGGUAAAAUAUGAUGAAGAGGAUCUAGCCUUUGUCCUAUUGUGUUCGCUACCCAAUUCUUUUUCGUCUUUUCGUGAUACUAUAUUGUAUCAUCGUGACACAUUGUCCAUUGAGGAGGUAUACGACGCCCUAUUCUCAAAAGAGAAGAUGGAGUUAUUGGUUGGAGAUCCUACAUCUAGGAGUGGGAAUGCUCUGGUUACUCAUGUUGAUCGACGGAAGGGUAGAUCGAAGGUGAGGUACAACAAUGUGUAAUGUUAUUACUGCAAGAGGAAAGGACACAUCAAGAAAGAUUGCGACAAGUUGCAGGGUAAAGGUGAUUUACAUGUAAAUCAUGUGGGACAAUCAGGUAAUUCAAACGAGACUAAUAUUGCUGAAAAUUUUUGUGAUGAUGGAGAUGUGAUGUUGGCUGUAUCUAACAGGGAAUCUAAACCUGAGGAGUGGAUUUUGGAUUCUGCUUGUUCGUAUCAUAUAUGUCCCAAUAGGGCUUUGUUUCAAACAUAUGAGACGGUGAAGCAAGGUGGGGUUGUCAUGGAAAACAACCAAUCUUGCUAGGUUGCAGGAAUCGGUCGGGUCAGAUUGAGGCUACAGGAUGGAACAGUGAGGACACUUGAUCAGGUUCGUCAUGUUCCAGACUUGACAAAGAAUCUCAUAUCACUGAGUACCUGGGAUGAAAAAAGGUACAAAUUUUCUGGUGGAGGUAGAGUCUUGAAGGUUUGAAGGGGUGUCUGGGUUGUACUGGAGGGACGGAGGAAAUCCCAGUGUACAUCUUGCAGGGGAGCACAGAACCAGUUCAGAGACAUUUGGACAAGUUCAGUACCGUGGUGGACAUUCAAUUUGGUACAGUACCUCUCGGGUUUGGCUCUGAGUUAGUUAAGAACUUUGCUCAAGGGAAUAUUGGUGAUUCUGCUUUGCCACCAAUUUUAGCGGGUACACUGUGUUCUUGUAAUGCCAAUGGACUCAUGGAGCGUAGGUAUAGUUUUGGAGAUGUCUAUAGUGCUUUAGAAAUCAUUGAAGGUGACAAUAUUGGCAAGGGACCUUCUGAUUGUGCAUUUGGUGUGGUUUCUGCUACAGGGUGUGCUUCGACCCUGUCCAGUGAUUGUUAAUUCCAAGAGGAAUUUUGAGAACCCAAGUUUUGGGUUCGGGUGUCGCUUGUGGAAGCUGGGCGGGGUAAUGUGUUAUCGUGGAGAGUUUUGGUUACUGUGUUGAAGAGAUUGGUUAUUCUGAUGCAAAUGGAUUAUUUCUCAAGGUGGAGAAAUUUUGGAGUUUCGUUCGUUGCACCGAAAUUUGAGUCAAGGUGGAGAUUGUUAGAGUUGGUGAUUCAAAUUGGAAAGGAAAUCUUGAAGAUGCGUGAUGGAUUUGGAGAAUCAAAUAGUAUCCGAAAAAUAAGGAAACAAAGUCCUUGUCUCGUUUUUUUCCCGUUGAACCUAUAAUUCUUACCUUUUUAGGACUCUUUUAGAGCUAGACUCUUGUGGUAUAAAUAUGAGCCUCCUCUUUCAGUAUUGUUGAAGCAUCAUUGCUGUCCAAUUGUAAUUCUCUCCAUAUUAAUAAAAUUCAUCGUUCCUCUGCUUAAUUCAUCUUUUACUUUAAUCUUGUUCGUGGUAUUUUGCGAUCCUGUAUUAUACUUCAAAUUGGUGUCCAUUAAAUCUCAAUUCUUGCGUUUCGUUUCCACCCGGUCCCAACAAAUAUUUGCAACAACUUCACUACGUGAAGGUUGAAGUCCAAAAGCACCUUCGUCUAUGCAUAAAGUUUGUGAUGUCUAUAUGGUAGAUUGUAAAACUAUCACUCAUUUUGGAAAUUGUAGAGAAUUGUUGGAAUAAUUUCCAAAAAAAUGUCGUUUAGACAUUGGUAGUUUAAAUCAAGGAAAUACUUCAAGAAGCGUUGGAUCAAGAUAGGACAAGAACAAGAGAUGACCAAACGGACCAAAACUUGCACUAGUUUGCAACAUAAAUUGGCGCAAGUACGCCCAAGGCUAGUGCACCUACGCUAGUUGAGUAAUUGAAGCACAGGUACUCUGCCUUGUUGAUGCAAGUGACCUGUUGGCUAGUGCACCCGCGCUGCCAAGCGACAACAAUGGUGUCUUUUCGUUCCUAACUGAUGUUUGAUAGUUAGAAUUCAAUUUUUUUUCAGUUUGUAUUGAUGUAGUUCAAACUCUAAUAAUUAUCUUGAAGUGUUGUAACUCUUGGGAAGAUGUGUAAAAUAAUUUUAAUUCGUUUUUACUCUACCAUUUUCUACACUUUCUUGCAUCCAAAAUACCAACUUUAGUGCAUUCUUAUCUUCUUGAGUAUUGUUUGUAUUUAUCAUACUGCAGAUAUAAAGUGGAAAUUUUGAGUGGACUUUCCAUUGUUCGUGUUGUCUUCGUGAGAAAUCCCAAACAACACUAAAGGGCUUCAUUAUAUCCUAUAGACGUAUUUGCAUUCCAUGUGCAUCAUAGAUUGGUGGAAACAAAUAUCAUCUUAAGGAAAGAGAUAUUUGUUAUAUGCCUUGAAGCCGGUAUUGUUUUAAGUUCGAGUUUUUGCGAUAUUCCAACAUCUAGUUUCGUCUAAUUGUCAUCUCUAAACUGAUCUCACCUACACCUUCGAACCUCGUUUCAGUAAUCUACCUAUAUAUAUUCAUCUAAUUCAAUCCGUCAAUUUGUUAAAAUUUGGAUGAUCGAAAAGGUCUUACAGAUGUUUUAAAUUGACCAGCUUCCCUAGUUCUGCUGGAAUGGUCCCGUUUAACCUGUUACUCCCCAAGCCCCUGAAAGUUGAAUAGAUUUUCAAAAUUACAAUUAGAAUUUCGGGAAAAUAUAUCCACUAUCAAACAAAACAUUCAUGGUGUUUGCUUGUUUAUGUAGGAGUGACCAUAUGUAGAGAGAGAGAUCUAUGGGUCAGUUGAUAUGUAGAGGGGGAGAUAGCUAGAUAGGAACUCACAAAUACGUAGUAAUGUUUCCCAGGAAUUUCGGUAUGGGUCCAAAUAGGCGGUUCACCAAAAGACUUCUAUAUCACACGUACUUUUUCGAUAUAACAAAGGAUGUAGACAUUACAUCAUUGCCAAAACUCAAUUAAAAGCUACAGGCAAGGCUCACAUGGACUCCAAUUUGGUUGCUUCCCAUUCCAUGGGUAUUGUACCAUUAAGGUAGUUGCCACUAAGAUCUCUGUAGCCAAUAGAUUCAGAGUGAGAUCAAUGUGGCCAAUAAAUUGUCUCAACCUUUCGAAGCAAAAAGCUGAGUAGAUUUAAUAAAUUGAAAAUAAACUUGGAACAUCUUGCUACAUUGUCUUGAGGUAUGGUAACUUUGCCUGUGAGGGCGGAAGGACACCUGCCAAAUACUGUCCAUUUAGAAAUCUGUUUGUAAAGAAAAGCGACAAUCUUUAGCAUACUCUGAAUUGAAAAGUUUUCAUCUAAAUUUUACAAGUGCGACAAUUAAAAUUUCUUGAGAAGUGAAAGAAACAAAGCCAAAAAAAAAAAAAUAAUAAUAAAAUAAAUAAAUAAAUCAUUCCGAAGGGAUUUUGAAGGAAACAAUACAAUAUAUUAAGCCCAUGUUUGGUGGGGGAUUAUUUUUAGCAAAUUUUGAUAAAAGUUGAUGAAAUGUAUAGUUGAAAAGUUUUGGGUCUAUAAAAUAUGAGGCUAAAAUUAAUUGUUGAUGUUUAUUUAGAUUAAGAUCUAUAUUUUAGUCCUAGGAAAUAGGGGCUAAAUGUAUAGAGUGUUUCAAGUAAAACAACUUGUUAGAGUGGCUUCUAGAACACACUACAAACGUUAUACGAUUUCAUUUUCAACUCUAACUUAACAAUCAAGAAUGUAACUUGAAAACAUGGUGAAAUAAAGUUGUAUGCUUGACUGAAUGGAAAAAAAGAACUAUAUUUAUUUUUUAUUUUUUUAUGGUUAUAAUACUAACACAGCUUAUUGCAGAAACUUCUAUACAUAUGUUAAGUGCAAAUCGUGGUGAAAGAUGAUGAAGAUAGAGAGUCUAGCAAUAUAAAAUGAAUAAUGCUAUUUAGCACCACUGGUGUUAUAAUACCAGUUUUGGUGACACAAAGUGUCAUUAAAUGAGUCACUACCUUUCAUUUAGCCCAUUGCAUGGCGACAGUUAUACUGGUCUUCGAUGACAUUAUUCAUAUGAAAUAAGUCAUAAAGGUCAAGUUUGAUUACUAGGCACCAUAAGUUCUAUUGAGGUCUAAGCAUGAAAAAAGUACAAUAAUUCCCACUUAAAAUACCAUUUUAAGAAUCGACAAACAGAUUUCCAACCAUUAUAUGGUAUUCCAUGCCUCAAAAUCAAAUACUGAAAACCCCAUAUUUAGCUGCUUGAAGGAUCAAUAGAAGCAGAAUAUAUUUUCUGUGAUUCCUGAUUCCUUGCAACGUAAUAGCACAAAUGGCUAUUUCGAAAUCAGUUUCAAACUAAUGAUAAAGAUGAUAAGUUUUCAGCAAGAAAACCUACAUUAAUUUUACGUGGCACACACCACCAGGGAAAUUACAAUGGCAGAUGAUGGAAUUGCUGUACCAUUGAAUAUCUUCUCGUUUUGGUGUAUUCCAGUUUGAGUUAUUAUCACAAGGAUUCAGGUUGAAGUCCCAGUCCUUUUUGCCCAACUGAUCAGCUAUUUCACGAAGAGCAUUCUCUGCAAAAAUCAGAACUCUAUUCUAAAAUAUAAAUGUGAUCGGAUUCAUGUUGAUCAAAGUGAACUUUUAAGGAGUUUAAUGGAAGGCUAAAAAGUGUAGUCCCUAAUGAGCUAAACACGUGAAUGGAAAAGAAAUAAAUGGUUUACAUGUGCAAUGACUAGCGAUCGUGGCAUAACACAUUGGAAAAAAUAGAGAUAUACAAAACUACUACAGCCAAUUAUCUUUGAUCAUCUAGUUGUUUUGCCUCUUAUAUUAGAUGUAAUAAAAUAAAUAGACCAGAGUGGUUCGUGGUCUCAAAAUGAAAGUUAUUAUUAUCAUUUUUACUUUAAAAUAGCACAGAAGGUGUUUUAAGGCCACUAUGUUUGCAUCUUCGUAAUCAAAUUAGUCUUGUGGGUAGUCCGUGUUUGUAUUAAAUCUAUUCCCAUUUUCAGGUAUUUCCAUUUUUUGCCAAUUUCUUGGGUAAAAUCUCCCACCUAUCUUAAAGAUAAAGAAAGCUUUCUUGGAUACUUCUUGCACUAAAAAUGAAGGACGAUCCAAUUUAUUAACUAUGAAGCACUAAUAUUUCUUCGAAGCAUAAAACAACUAAAAAAUUAGUAAAAAUGAAUGAAAACCGCUUCAGGCUACUUGUUUUCAAUAAUCUCUGGUACAUAACUGAUAAAUUUACUAAAGAAGAAGUAUUUCAUCAUCAUCUACUAACUUUAUCCUUAUUGCAUAUCUAACUAUAUAAUUGUUGUGCUUGUUAAUAUAUUCAAAAUGUGUUGGAUAAUUGCCUCAGAAGUCAAAAGUUGGAGUACUUCUAUUGCAAAUAAUAAAAGGUAAUAAUUGUAUGGAAGACUUCUAGUUAAAGUUGAGAGAAAAAUCCUCGCAGAAUUUGAUUUCCAAUUUUACAUCCGCUUUUGAAGUCUUGCAUAUAAAGGAGUCCUUGUUUGAGUUGAAAUUGAACUCUUUUACUUAAUUAUCGAUCCUACAAAUAGUGGAUGUAUUUAUUAUUUCAUGGGUGUGGCCUGAGAGUUGAUCCGAGAGAUAAAUAUUGUGAGCCUAAUAUCUUGAGAGUUUUCAUAUAAAGAGUAGAAAAGUGGGUAUGGUAAAGCUCAAGAUUAUUUUUCUUUGUAAUACUUAAGAAUUGGGUUGGUGAGUAAAAUUUUAUAUGGUUGUAACAAUUUUCAUAUAGUGAAAGGCUUUGAAGGUCUGCUAGUGAUACAAAUAGAUUAGUAAAUGACAUAUCUAUUCAAUUAAAUGGAUAUCGACAUUUUACCUAGAUAUUUAUUGUGGUGCGGCAAAAAAAUAUCAUGUCAAUUUUAUCAAUGCUAUGCCCGCAAUAACAUGACCCUGAUCAUUUAUUUUACUUUCUUUCAUCAAAAGACAUUUAUUUCGGGACAUCAUAAAUAUUUUCUAUUUCCUCCCUGGCAAAAGAUAAACAUAAGUGCAUUAACUUUCUAGGUCCUUAAUGGAAACUUGGGAAUUAGACCUUCAACAUGGGCCACCUAAUCUGAAUAUUCAAAUAAAUAUUUCUUUCAUUAUCAUGUCUAUGCACCUCACAGUACAAUUGACUCCUCCGUAUUCCAUUUCAUCAGCAUUAAUCACUUGUUUAAUGCAUGUUCAUCUUCUUUUUCUGAACGAGUGAACCUAAAUCAGAUAAAGAUAACUGCAUGAGCACAGGGCUAACCUGUAGAAUUUUCUAUCAGGCUGUCUUUUAGUAACCUGAAAAUGAAAUCAGAGACUUAGCAAAGACUUGCUAGGUUAGUCCAUCGCGAAGUCUUUUUCAUCUGUAUUUACAUUAAGAUAAAAAGAGAAUUUUAUAAAUGCAUGUUCAAAUAUUACAAAGCUAGACUAUUAUGAAUCAAUUAUUGUUUCUUGAAUAAAUAUUUCUUUUCCAAUUGUAGAGAUAUUUACAAUAUCAACACUAUUUUCCUAGAUUUCGUUGCCUUAUUAGAGUUUUGAUCAAAACAUUGACCAACUAGAUAAUAUUGUGCAUGUCCAUUGACUCAAUUUGAAGUGUUUUGAUUGUAAGCUCUCUCCCAGUCGCCAAUAAAAUCCAUACUUUCUUAAAUUAUGUUUAUUGGCGCCAAUAUUUUUUUUGCAAGCGAUUGCGGCACAGCACGUUGGAAAAAGUAGAGAUAAACCAAAACUACUAUAGCCAAUUAUCUUUGAUCAUCUAGUUGUUUCGCCUCUUAUAUUAGAUGUAAUAAAAUAAAUAGACCCGAGUGGUUCGCGGUCUCAGAAUGGAAGUGUGUGUGUGUGUGUUUUUUUCCUUCACUUUAAAAUAGCACAGAAGGUAUUUUAUGGCCACUAUGUUUGCAUCCUCAUAAUCUAAGUGAUCUCGUGGGUAGUCUGUAUUGGCAUUAAAUCUAUUCCCAUGUUCUGGUGUUUCCAGUUUUUGCCAAUUUCUUGGGUAAAAUCUCCCAACUAUCUUAAAGAUAAAGAAAGUUUUCUUGGAUGCUUCUUGCACGAAAAAUGGACAGUCCAAUUUAUUAAACUAUGAAGCACUAAUAUUUCUUCAAAGCAUAAAACAACUAAAAAAUUAGUAAAAAUGAAUGAAAACCUGCUUUGGGCUUCUUGUUUUCAGUAAUCUCCGAUACAUAACUGAUAAAUCUACUAAAGUAGCAUAUCAUCAAAUUUCUUCCUCUGCUAACCUUAUCCUUAUUGAAUAUCUAAUUAUAUAAUUGUUGUAUUUGUUAAUGUAUUCAAAAUAAAAUUUCCACAGUGAACAUCUCACUACGUCAAUGACAUGGUUUGCUAGUGAUACAAAUAAAUUUUCAUGUCAAUUUUAACAAUUUAUAGGCCUCAAAUCCCUAUUAGAAUUUCUUUCAGUUGUGCUGGAGCAUCUUGAGUUUAAACCUAUUAGGUUCCCAAACACCUGAGGUCAAGUUCCUCUCCUCUGCAAGAUAUUUAUAGACAAAAUGAAGUAUUCUAUUUAAUAUUUUAUUUUACUUUUAACAAGAAAGAACGGUAAAACUGUUUUAGAACGUGCGCAUAAGCUAUAAUUAGGACUAAUAAAGAUUUGUUAAGUAAGCCCGACGUCAAGAGGUAUUUUAAAUUCAACCUUAGUAAUUUGAUGCUCUACAUCAAUGUCUGAAUGAUAUAAUGUAACCAUAUGUUAAGAAUUAUGUCAACCAUUAUAUUACUGUAGCAUGAUUCAUAGGGAAAUGGGUUAGGAGAAUCUUUUCUCGCUAGCAAUUGUCGUAUCUUUAUAGUUGACAACAUAUUACUCGGUAUUUCUCAAUGUACAUGCCCUUGAAUAAAUGGACUGAAAGUACUAAGAAAGAGAAAUAAAUUCUAAUUCAUAAUUCAUUGAAGGUUGUCUGAGAAGGAAACUCGAGCAGAUGUAGAGGAUAAGCCAGUUUCUGGCGCAUCAGACAAAUGAAUGAGGAUUGAGUUUUACUUGAAUUAAGUUUCAAGUAUUAGAACUUCUCUCUGACUAAUUGAAGAUUCACUAACGAGUUGAGCUGACUCCCUCCGCCCCAUUAACUAGUUGAGUUGGCUACGGAUGAACUGUAGGAGCGAGUCGAUCAAUCACAUGAGUCGGAUCGCGAGACUAGAUGAUUUGGAUUUCCAUCUUAAAAUGUCAACCUUGUUAGAAGGAAUAAUCCAAACCCUUAUAGGUUGGUUUAUAUAUCUUUAUUCGAUGUGUGAUUUUAUCACUUAACAUGCCGAGUAAGAUGGUCGAACCAAUCUUGAAAUUCAUGUGCUCAUUUUUUUUAGUCUUAAUAGGAUCGAAUCGCUCAUUUGAGCUUAAUAGACUCUAAUAUCAUGUAAAGAUUUGAAAUUCCAUCUUAAAAGGUCAACAUUGUUAAUAGAGGUAGUUCAAACUCUUAUAAAUUGUAUUAUAUUCUUAUCUUUAUUCUAUGUGAAAUUUUAUCCCUUAACAUCUAAGCUUGCAAAAUAGCAAAUUGCUUAGUAAAUGAUGGACCCGAUCAAUUAAAUAGAUAUCAACAUCUUACCUUUGUUUAUGGGCAUUGAGUUGGAAUGCUUUGAACUUUAGCUUGAGAAUAGACUACUCAAUUGAAGUGUUGUAAUCAGUAUUAAUAUUCCGUCGACUUUGAAUACAAUUUACAAUUUAUAACAUUCACAGAAGGUAAUAUGUAACCUUUUUUAUAAUUUUACGUAAAGAAGAAAGUUUUGUCGAUAAAAUAAAUUUAUUUCCUCCAAAUCUUCAUUACCAGUUUGAAAAAUAUAUAUAUACUAGUCUUACGCCCCUGCAAUGCAUGGGCUUUGUAAUUUUGAAGAUAAUGUUAGUGUAUCGAAUGUUAAGGGUUAACGGGAAAAUGUAUAUUAUAAAAUUUCCAUAUACACGUUCAUAGAAAAUACUAAAUAGAGUUCACAAAGAACAUAAUUAUCAGUCUAUAAGUAAAUUUGGGGUCCAUACAAUUAGAUAGAAAUCAGGAUUCUAGUGAAACUAACAUUCAUUUUUAUUUCAGUUACUUGAAACAGCUAACAUGUAAUCAAAUCAAUGUACCAUAAUUUUGUUGUGAAAUCAAAAGUCAUUGCCUCGUGUUCAUGCUCAGGUCAUCACUCGCCUAAUCACUUUGACAAUUACUUUUGUGGUGGGACAUGGUAAAUGGUGGUGCCAGUAACUAAGCUUACCUGUUACAAAGGAAAUUGUAGAAAACCAUUUUAGGACCAAUGUAUUACAAAAGAAGCUAGUAAAACAAAAGAACUCUUACGAAAAAGCAACACAUGAAACAUAAAAAAAAACAAACGUUUUGAGAGGAAUGCUAAAGACAACAUUUAUACAAUUCAAAUUCUACUGAAAAAUUAAAACGAGCUCAACAUGUGGAAGCUUUUGACAAUCCAACAGUUGCAAUUAUAUAAUUUCUUACAACCUUGUACAUAGAUCAGAAGGGGCCAUAAUUACAUAGUUGAAUUAGUUGAAGUUUCAAAAAUAAAGAACCAUAAAACAUAGAAUGCUCUUUGAUGUGAACAAAUUUCAGAGGAGGCAAUCCCGAAGUCAAAUGCUUAAUGGAACCAAAACAAUAGAUGAAUACAUCCUGAAAAUUAUAAUACGUGAAUCUAAUAAACGAUUAUUUUCAGCCAUGAGAUAUUAAGCUUUAUUUUCAUACUUGCUUAUUAAUUUGAGCUUAUAAGUUGCGACAUGUAGCAUUCCAAUAGUCCUAACUUCCUUAAUAUCGAUAUGUAAAUAGAAAUAUGCCAUUGAGACAAUUAACACAUAACAAUAAUGUCAUAAGGAUUUGUUCACUAUCCCCAGUCCUGAUCAAUUAUCAAUUGUUUGCGGCAAAACAUUUGAGCAAUGAGAAACCUGUCCAUGACAUUCUAAAUUAUUAGAAUAAAAACAUGGUUGCAGGCUUUACCUCUUCAUUAGCUUGACUUUCCGUCACCGAGGUUCAUGAAAAAGGAAAUUGUUAAUUGAACAAAGAGAAAGGAACCUAUUACACAGAGUUGCACAGGCUCAUUUCAUAUAAUAAGGGUUAAACCUGUGAAUACACGCCUCUCGACAACUUUCACGAUACUCUCGAUGGAUGUUUUGUCUUAAAGCCUAUAGAAAAUUAUUAUUAAGAGAUAAUGAGAAAUGGAAAGAAGAAUUGGAAGAAAUUCAAACCUUUCCAUUAUAUCGUGUAUCUAAUUUACCUGGAACUCAGAUAUCUUGUUUUUGAACUUCUUCAAAACCCUACAUUAAAAUAUAAUCACUUCCUUCACAUGUUCUCACAUAAUGCAUGUCUUCAAAUUAAGUCCUGAGAGAUAUUUAAAUCAAGAAAAGAGACUGACAACCCCAUUAAGUGACUUCCUUGACCACCUUACUGACAAAAUUGAACCAAAUUUCUCAAAAAUUCUAAAGAAAACCGAUAAAGGAAAGGCCAAAAGGGCAAAAAAAAGAAAAAAAAAAAAAGAAAAAAAAAUGCAACCUUAACACAAAAAAAAUUUAAAAAAUAAUCGAAAGAAUAGCCAUUGGGUGAAUAUACAGAUCUCCAUAAAAAAGAAAAAAAGGGUAUUAGAAAAAUUCUCUUUCAUUGAAAUUCCAAUAGCAUUGCAACAUAAGAUUUUUACAAAAGGAAAUUUAAAAGUCAUACCUGAUUGUCUUUCGAAGAUAUAAGAAAAUGAUUAUAUCAGAUUCUAAGUCUGAAAAGGAUAAUUACAUUAAAAAAAUUUCCAUCCAAAAAAAGGAAAAGAGGGGAGAAAAUUGAGUUUUGAAGGGAAAAUGAGAGAGGAAAAAAAAAUCUAUUUCUAAAUAAUGCAGCAGCUUGUAAGCAAAUGAGUGAGUUUCAUAUUCAUCAUAAACAGUUAUAGAAUGUUUAUUCUCUUUGGCUAAGAAUUACUGGCUAGAACUAUGCAGCGAAUGCAUGGAUUUGAGAUACCAUAGAACCAAAUCCUUAGACGAAAAUUGAUUCAAAAAUCUAUCCUUUGUAUGUGGCGUAAUGAAAUAGCAAUUACCUCAUUGACAGAUGAAUUUGGACAAUUGAUGAAAAUUCUGGCAGAAAAAUAGAAAUCCAAUCUCCUACAUAAUAUGAAAAAACUUGAAAAUUUCUAAAUAAUUUCCCAUUCUUUCUUAACUUCUUAUCUUUUCUUCAUAAUCAGACGGUUUGGUGUCAAAAUCCUUCCCAUUUCUAACACAAUGCAAACCCAUUUAAAAUAAAAAAAAUAAAAAAUAAAAAAUAAACCAUCAAUUUUCACUUUUGGCUUUUGGCACAAAUGAUUGCAUAUGUAUUUAAAGAUAAAAUAAGGUCAAAAAAAAAAAAAUCAAUCAACACUAAAUUAAUCAACAAAAUAACUGAAAUUUAAUUAAUUUAUUACCAAAAAAACAUUAAUGGCAAUUUGAUUCAAUUCUUUCCUUCUGAAUUUGCUACUUUUGCUUCUCGAUAGAGUCAUCAGUCCUUUGUUGUUAGGGAUCACAGAGGAGAAUGUGAAUAGUUUAAUCACUUUCAUCGCUUUCUCCUCUCCCUAUUCAUAAUUACUAACUAAAAAAUGAAAUAAUAUUACCUAUUUACUAGUACAAUAUUCUUGUUAUGGUUUAUUUGUACAAGUUGAGACGAACGCCGAACAAGUUAAACAACCAACAAAAAGCAAUAAAAUGAAAUAGAGAAAUCAAAUAAAAUACAAACAGAUAACAAAAAGCGAGAAUGAGUUAUUUGAAAACAAAAAAGAAAAAAAAGGCAAAUAUGAAAUCGACAUACCUUAUUUUGAUACUCUUCAAUUUGUACGUGAAUCUUUUCUUUCCUUGCAAAGAACUUCGAACAUAGAUGAAAAAGAACGAAAACUUCAGAGUAGAUAUGAAGAUAAUUCAACAAAAAAUACACAGAAAAAUAAUAAAGGAAGAUACUCGAGGUCCUCGAAGUCCAAUUUUUGUCGAAAUUUUCUGGUAUUUUGGGAACGGUUUGUUAAAUUUUCUGAAAAGAGAAAACAAAAAAUUUGAAGAUUGACAACAAAAAAUAGAAACUAACAUACCUGAAGUAAUCAAACUCGAAUUUCUUUCAAGAUUCUAUGGUAUUUUGGAAAGCUCUCAUUUCCCUAGUGAUCUUAUUGCCUGCAUCAGACAAUAAGAUAUAUCAUAACACAGAGAAAGCACUUUAUUAAUUAAACACCAUGUAUGGUCUUUUUCAGUUCUUUCGUUAGGUCAAAGAAUACCUCUGUCUAUUCACUCUUUAUCCCCUUUUGGCCCAAUAAAUGCAUUCCUUCAAUUUCUCUAAUAACAUCAACUCUCUUAAAAUGAACGUGUUGUAAAAUAAUAGUACUUAAUAACUGAUAAACAUCACGAAUUAACUCCAUUCUAUGUUACAAAAUUAAUAUUUCUUACACCUUGUAACUAAUUGCUUUGACAAAAGAAUUUAAUAUACAUUUAAUUAUAAGAGAAAACUAUCUAAUACAUACAUUAUGUGCAGUUAUAGAGGUUAUAAGAUAGAUCUAAAUUUCGAUCCAUGUAUUCUAAUGAAACAUUAAGUAAAAGCUUUUGUCCUACUUUAACCAUUUUAGUUACAACUCUUAGUAUUAGCUACAAAAAUGAUUCUACCUAAAUAUGAAAACCUUGCCACUUCAACCAUGCAACAUCAUCUUUGGCUAAGUUUUAAAGAACGGCCAUGUAAAAGAAUGUUAAUGAAUCCAAAUGUACCUAAAUAUGAGAACUUAGCCACAGUAUACCAAACACCAUGUACCAUAAUAUCACUAAAUUAAAAUUAAACCCGAAAUGAAAUAAAAUAAGAAAACAAGCAUAAAUGGCAAAGAAAGCAAAUAAUGACCAUUUGUGUAGAAUUGAGCAACAAAUUCUACUGUCGUAAGGAAAUCAUCUACACUCGAAAAAAUAGUAUUAUUCAUCUACAUAUAUAUAGAUAUCUUCAACAAAACCAGUGAAAAAUAUCCUAGGGAAUGCAAAAGUUAUUAACGAAUAUUUUAGGCGUUGGGAUUAUCCUAAGAUCCAUGAAUUCCACAUGUAUGAGGAGUACAAAUAACAAAUUAUUUUUUAGGAAGAAAAACGAAGGGAAGAAAGCUGACAACAACUUAUCAAGUAAGGAAAUAUCAAAAGGAACGUUUGGUUUUUCUCCGUAUGCUAAUGGCUUAAUGCCCAUUAUUUGCAUCACCGUAUGCCUUGGGUUUCUUGCUAGGAUAAUGCCAUUUGUACAAUGACUUUUGACAACAUUGUUGACGAUGUUGUAUAUGUCAUAAAAGUGUUAGUAGGAAAUAUAAAUUGUUUUUUAAAUUAUCCAAUGACAACGUGACCCAUUGCAUGUUGUCAACAAUAUUGUAAAAAUGAUUGUACACCAAGCAUGAUUGCGCUUGCUAUCGCUUGAUUGCAGAUGAUGCAAAUGACAAUGAGAAAGUUUUUCCAAUUUAUCCCCUUCACUUGAAUUUUCUGGGGAAGCAAAUAUUAUUAGCUAAUACAUGCAUGUACAAUAAUUAAACAUGCAAUAAUUAUACCAUUGCAGUCACACCAGCUCAAUCCCAGAGUAGUACUAAAAGAAAGUAACAAAAGAAACACCAAAGUCUCGAUACUCUUAGUAAGUCAAAUUGUAGCAUGCACGUCAAAUGUUAUUAAAAACAAAGUUUAAUGUAUACAGGUCCAAAAUAUGAAGUAAAAUGAGGCCAAAUGAACUUCUGGGUAGCUACUUACUAACUGUACAUGCAAAACCAAAGAAGCUUCUCCCUACCCACCAAAAGAAUACAAAAAGAACGAAAAACGAAAAAGAAAGAAAUUACCAUUUAUUUAGAAGUAGACUUGGCAGAGACACAGAGUUUCAUUAUCAACAUGCCAGCCACUUGAACAGAGUAACACACAUCAACUUUUAAGUUCUAUCGUGUUAUGAGAGAGCAAAUGUCAUGACAAUGAGAUUCAGGAUUAAUAAAAAUUGCAAUCUCAUCCUAAUGAGAUCAAUGAAUAAAAUCCAUCCAUUUAAUAAUUUCUGACAUUGUUUAGCUAUCAAUAAGAUAUUCUUAUGUUAAAAAUUUCACUUCCAUUAUUGAAUUUUUAUUUCUUAUAAUCACAGCAGCACAAAUUUCGGUGAUAUUUGUCCUAAAUUCUUUACAUGAAUCAACAAUGCCGAAAUCUUGUAAAGCUAGCCUCUGUGACCUGAUGUAUAGAUUUUCUAGACCACUUUACCUCCUAACGUUGACUAUUCUGGUGAGACUCAUGCCAAUUGUAAAAAUGAGGUAUUAAGACUUGAGUUUAACAAGGAUGUGAUUCUGUCAAUCUUUUCUCUUUUCUCUUUUCUUUUUUUUUUCUUUUUACAAUUUCAAGUUUUGAUAUCAUACUUGAUUUUGGUACACUAUUUUCAGCACGAGGAAAUGUCCACCAUGCUUGUAGUGUUUUAUUGACAAAGCUUUCUUCUGCAUAUGUAAAAACUUUGACAUAACACUAUCCAUUUGUGAGGAUUAUAAUAUUUGAAAUUGACUCCACCAAGCAAUAUUUCCUGAAAUCAAAGCAAUAAGUCGUGUGUUAAUAAUUUGUUCAUAUAAGAAUUGAAGAGUUUUUGAACGGAUGCAUUUCGCAAUUAAAGAAGCUUUAAGCAUCUUCAUAUUCUGGUAAGAAUAUUUACUACUCGGGUAACAAUCAAUAACUAUCUUCUUUGCACGACUUGCAUGAUAGUUGCAACUGACAUUUUCAAUAGGUAACAAGCAGUAGAUUCAUAUAUAAUAUUGGCACUCUGAACUCAAUAUUCGAUUUGAAUGAUUGACUCAGUGCAUGUAUUUAGGGCUGUGCUGUGAUGAGAAAUUGUAAUAUCUUGAAUGAUCGACAAUGUGUUUUUUCUACAUCAGUAUGUUCAAUAUAUCUAUGUCGCAUACUCCAAGUGACCAAUUGGAGUCUUCAUUGUUUAGACACGGAAGUUGAUUUCUGGUAUUGAACAAAGAAUAGCUUUUCCUUUGUCAGAUAACUGUUAUAGUGAUAUUUGAACUACUAAAAUAACUUCAUCAAGUGCAGAAUGGUCACAUUUAAUCUGGUGAAGAAGUUCAACAACUUUCUUUUCCCUGGAGAUCGGAUUUUCACUGAUGGACUUUUGCUCAUUUAAGAACUUAAUUAGGUUGUGCCAGGUAAAGUGAAGUUGGCAUUAAAUUUAAGUACAGGAAAUGCUUGAUUGGAGGAAGCGAUAUGGAAGCAUCGAAGGAAAACAAGUCCAAGAAAUUUAAGUCUCAUAAAUGCAACUUUUUCUUACAUGGGAGCAAAGAACAUAACAUUGGAGGUUAUAUGAAAAAAUGGAAUAUGCAUUUUUAAUAUGGGGUUCUGAAUGCUACGAAGUGUUGCUGACAAUUCAGUACCAGUGGAUAACUAAUAGAUAAGGACUAAGUGCAUGAUUGAGCCCCAUUUUUGGCUAAUAAUGGAUUUUGAAAUAGUAGAUUGAUGGAGAAUGUGUAGUUAAAAAAUAAAGAAAAGUUUUGAGUUGUGUAAUAUUAUUUUAUUGAAAAAUACGUGGUUGAAAAAAAAAAGAGCAAAAAAUAUAUUUUAAAAAUAGUGGAAAUCAAACAAGGACUAAAAUGAUUUCGAUUAAAGAAAAUUGAUAAUUUUUCGAGAUUUCACUUCAAAGAUAAUACCUUAAAGGUUUGUUGUCCUUGAAUGAAAGAAAAAAUAUAUUAAAAAUAUAUUCACGUAGUUUUCCUUAUUAUAUAACUUAAAUGACAUGAAUAUAGAGGAAAACUUUAGACUAAAAGAAGAAAACUGUGAAAGAAGUGUGUUUGUCCAUGUGGUAAAAAAUGGAAGAUUGCUACACUAAAUACAAUUAAAAUUUUUUUAGAAAUAACUGAAACUAUAGCCAUUUGCUUAUGUUACCUUGCAUCAAGACUCGAUUAAGGAUGUGAAUAUAAUGUGGAAUCUUGAGCUCUUUGAAUUUAUAAUUGUUGCUUCAACCUUUAUAUUUGACACUCCCUAUGGCAUUAAGUAAUUUGAAGUUAUCCUAAAAAAUAUAGAGGAGAAUUGUUGAAAGCAUAUAUUGAUAUGGCACAUAACAUAAACACCAAUGCAAGUAGUGAAGGCAAACUAAAAAUAUAUAACUUUCACACCCUCUUGUUUGCUACCUUGAUCAAAAUUUGGGUGACAUCCUCAUAGAAGGUGACAUACUCUUUGGUCAAAUUUUGAACAGGAAAUCCAAUUUUUUCAUCCUCUUUUAUCUGGAACAGUUCGAGCAUAGCGGUUUAACCAUAAAAUAUACACGAAAACUCAAACACUAUCAACAGAAAAACUACUGACUUACAGAAUUAGUUCAAAUAUUGAAAAACACAUAAAAAGUAGUCACAUUAAUCCAUUUUUUUUAUGUCUUGAUUUAUAUAGGAUCUCCAUUGUAAUUCUUACAGGCCUAAAUGUAUCCAACAUCACUCUUCAUGGUGUACGGCACCAUGUCAUCGAUCAACUGAUGCUCAUGUCUUGGGGAAACAUAUAUGUUUUAGAAAACAAUGUGAAUGGGCACGUUAAUGUUCUAUACAUCAAAGAUAUAAAAGCAACCUUAGUGAAUGUUCUUCAGAUUAUUCCUUCCACUUCUCUUCAUGUACCUCCUAAAAUAUAUCUGUGAACCUGAAAUAGUGAAAUAUUAAUGUAAAUGUUAGUAUACAGACAUACUUCAUUUUAUUAAUAUUAUAACAAUUGACCAAGGUUUUCCUAAAGAAAUCACAGCCAUCAUACUUCUUAAGAGUUGUACUCUUUGUGCUCAAGUAAAGACGCCGUUUUUUGCAAUGUCAUUGCCAUUGAUGAUUCUGCAAAUGCUUGAAUAGACUGAAAAAUUUUCACAAAAAUUCCAGAUGAUGAGGCAAAAGAAUAUAAAAGUGCCAUUAGAAAAAUUUCAAUAUACAAGCGAGUUGUGUAAAGACAAACUUGAUGAACAUUAUACAUGGCCAGGGCAACACCAGAUCCUUUAAAGUCAUAGACAUCCAGUACUUCCAUGGGUCUCUCCCCAUUUUGUGGCUCUGGGACUGAACAGAGAAUGAGCAGAAGAAACAUGUAAAGAAUGGUUUGUCCAAAGAUAUGCUAAAUUUUCUUCCAAUAACUACAAAAAAGUGAACUGAACAAAUACCAUUCUAAGGUUUUCAGAUCCUUUUAUGAUUAAAUCAAUGGAAAAAUAUUGAUUGCCAAAGGCAUUUCUGCGAAUACAAAUAGGUUUCUUCCAGCCUACAGAAAAAAGGAUCAAAGUAAAUAAUUGGUGGUUUCAUAUAUUGUAAAUAUAUACCAAGGGGAAGAAGCAGGAGUACAAGGAACAAUUUUGGGAAUGUUGUUGAACAAGAUUGGCAAACUUAACUUCUAUAAGAACUUUCAAAUAAAAAUACAAAAAUUAAGAAAUGACCAAUGGUGGGAGAAUAAACCUUGAGGACAAAAUUCAGGUUUAAACAUGGGAGCCCAUGGUAGUACAGUAUUCAUCAAAAUCUGUCAAUCACAAACGUCAAAUUAAGCGCUCAUGUGUAUCAAUUGUAGCAAGUGAAAAGCAAUGAUAACCUUUUUCGGAAUUUGCAUUUGGGUAUUUAAUAAAUUAUCCGACUUGAAACAUUUUGUUCUCCUUCUUAAAGUUAAAUAUAAUCAAAGAGCCAAAUAUGGGAAGAACAAAUUUUAAGUCUUUUCAGUUCAGUUUCUUACAAAAAAUGAGGAAAAAAACACAGAUUGAACAAAAAAUCUCAUAUUCAAUAUGACGGCUGCAGAAAUAAAAAACUUAUACACAACACGAAGAAAUUGAACAAAAAAUACAAAAAAAAAAUAAUAAUAAUAAUAAUAACAACAACAUGAAAAUGAUAGACUUUAGGUAUUUUGGGUUCGACCUCUCAGAAGAAGGAAAAGGGGGAACAAAAAAAUGCAAAUUGGACAAGAAAUCUCAUAUUCAACACCACAGCUACAUAAAUUGAAAAAUAUAUACACAACAUCCUAAACCUAACCACCCCUUGAAACAUGACUUUACGUAUUUGGGUUUGAACUCUUCAAAGAUCAAACUAAAAAUAAAAAAUAAAAAAAAUUGAAAACUAAGCAUAUAUUGAACAAUACAACUCGACAAAUUAGAAGCAAUAUACAUAAGAGAAAGAAAUCGUAGCAGUGAAGAUUAUACUUACAGGUAUAUGUCUCAGUUGCUUCAGGUUUUCCUGAAUUUCUUGCUACAAUGGUGCCUAUCGCGAGAGAGAGAGAGAGAGAGAGAGAGAGAGAGAGAGAGAGAGAGAGGGAGAGAGAGAGAGAGAAAAAAUAGAGAGAGAGAGAGAGAGAGAGAGAACAAUUAGGGUUAAGAGGCGGAGAAAAUGGGUAACCAAAUGCCGAGUCUUGCAUUUUGUCCUUUCUUUUCCCAAACGGCGUUGUCUAGGCCCAACUAAGUUAAUGAUCAGUAAAAAUCGGAUUGGUGCGUGCACGGAGGACAUGACGGAGAUUUACUACAUGUUGCGUCUUUUUUUUUUUCACUUAUAUUUUUGUGUUCAUUUUUAAACUCAUUAUGGGAUAUUAAACGAAAUCGAAAUAUUACAUUCUUAAUAUCAUGUUGAAGUACUCGCGACAUAGUAUUGCACGUCGUUAACGGUGCGUGAAACAGCUAAUCGUAGCAAAUGUUACUGGACGUCAAAAUAGGCAUUUUCAAACUAUUUUUCGAAAUUUUCGAUAAUAAGCUAACUCUAAAAAUUCAUCGACCAUUAUACGAUAGUCGAAUCGAUAAAUGUUUUACAUUCUCUCGAAACUCAUUUCGAAAAAUAUAUCAUAGACACAUCGAAUGAUGUAAGUUAAUAUCAAAAAUAGUUAAACGGACAUUAAACGUAUGUGUUAAAAAAUGCGUAUAAAUCAUUUUUCUUCAAGAAAUCAAUUAUUUUAUUACUAUUUAUUAUUUUUUCGCAACAAUUCUCUCAAUAAAUCAUUUUGUUCAAGAAAAAUUAUGUGGUAUGACGUAAAUUUUUUUUUUCAUGCACGGAGUGAAUAUUUUUUUUUUACAUUUUAUUUACAAUAAGUUUUUUUAUUAAUAUAAUUUUAAAAAUUUAAAUAUAUAGGAUAUGAUUGAUAGUUAAUAACGUGAGAAUUAAAAGAAAGAGCAUGGUGUAUUAGAUUCAAAGUAAAGGAGAAAUAUUGCAGUAGACGUGAUAUUGCACUCAAAUGGCAUGUGAGAAAAUUUCUACAGUGUUUUUGAAUAAAAAUUUUUCUGUUGCCAAACCAGUUCCCAAACUGGUUAAGUUAUUUAAAAGUAAAAGAAGAGAUUACACUAUCUAAAAGAUAAAAAAUUACUUAUAAGUAAAAAAAUCACUUGAAGUUAUUUAAAAUAAAAAAAACUUAUAAUUGUAAAAGCUACUGAUAGGUAAAAAAAAUAUUAAUCCCUCAUUCUCUUAUAAUUGCAAAAGCUACUUAUAAAAAAAAUGUGAACUUAAAAUUUUUUAAGUAUAAAUAUUUAUAUAUAUUUAUUUUUUAAAAUUAAAUAUUAAUAAAAAGAUUAAACUAUUUAGAAUGUAAAAAGUUACUUAUAAGUAAACAAAUCACUUCAAGUUAUUUAAAAGUAAUAAAAAAAUUAUAAUUGUAAAGGUUACGUAUAGGUAAAAAAUAUUAAUUUCAACAUUUCUAAGUAAAUAUUUAGAUAUAUUUAAUUUUUUUAAUUAAAUAUUAAUAAAAAAUGUACUACAAAUAAAAGUAAAAAAAAAAAAAAAAAAGUGCAUAUUGGUGCUUGAACUCCCCGCACGCAUUGCUAAAUUUUUUUUUUUAAACUUAUGUUUUUGUGUUCAUUUUUAGGCUCAUUACGGGAUAUCAAACGAAGUCAAAAUAUUAUAUUCUUAAUAUCAUUUUGAAGUACUCGCGGCAUAGUAUUGUACGUCGUUAACGGUGCGUGAAACGGCUAAUCGUAGCAAAUGUUACGGGACGUCAAAAUAAACAUUUUCAAACUAUAUUUCAAAAUUUUCGAUAAUAAACUAACUUUAAAAAUUCAUUGACGAUUGGACGAUAGUCAAAUCGAUAAAUGUUUUACAUUCUCUUGAAAUUCAUUUCAAAAACUAUAUCAUAGAUACAUCAAAUGAUCUAAAUGAAUAUCGAAAAUAGUUAAACGGACAUUAAACGUAUGUGUUAAAAUAUGUGUAUAAGUCGUUUUUCUUAAAAAAAAAAAAAAAAAUUAUUUUAUUACUAUUUAUUAUUUUUUGGCUACAAUUUUCUCAAUACAUCAUUUUGCUCAAGAAAAAUUAUGUGGUAUGACGUAAAUUUUUUUCUCCAUGCACGGAGUGAAUAUGUUUUUUUAUAUUUUAUUUACAAUAAUUUUGUUGAUUAAUAUAAUUUUAAAAAUUUAAAUAUAUAAGAUAUGGUUGAUAGUUAAUAGCGUGAGAAUUAGGAGAAAGAGCAUGGUGUGUCAAAUUCAAAGUAAUGGAGAAAUAUUGCAGUGGACAAUGGCGUUUGACAAAAUUCCUACUAUAUAUUUGAAUAGAAUUUUUUCUGACAAAAUUCCUAUAGUAUUUUUUAAUAGAAUUUUUCCUGUUGCCAAACUAGUUCUCAAACCGAUUAAGUGUGAAAACGAGUGAACAAAAAAUGAACAGUAAACCCUCAUUCUUUCUUUUAUGGUAGUGUAUGUAUACACACACAUGCAUGCAUGUGUCCAAGGGUGUACCGAAUGUAAUUAUGGUUGAUAAUUGUUGGGCUGUAAUGCCAUCACAUCUGUAAGUGGGGCGAUGAUAGUAUCAUGGGCUUGGCCCAUUUUGGGUAUUUGAUCCAUUACAUGGUAUUUUAAAUGUGGAGGCCCAAUACCCAUACCCAAUAUAUGGAAAAUCACAUUUUGGAAGAGCAAUUUUAGUUGCCAAUUAAUGCUGAAGUCACUAAUUGCCCUCGACCAUUGAUCAUCAUCCAAAAUCAAUGGUGAUGGUGUAAAGUAUAAAUGGGGUCUUACGUUGUUGCCCUAAUUCACUUGUACUUUGAUAUUUUUUGGUGUUUUCUGGAAUUCUCACUAAGUUAGGUUUGUUUCUUUUGUCUUCUUUCGAUCAUCUUUAACCUCUAUUUGGAAAGUUUCUUGUGGUUUUCUGAGUGAAAUUUGAGUUUCUGUGGUUGAUAGUGAGAGAAAAGUGUAGUUUCAAGUUCAAUGCCUUCUGGUCCAUAAAAGAAGUGUCUUCUAAUCCACUAACAGUUUAGGUUUGAGGUUUCUGGUUUGUAAACAAGGGUAUCCGAGAUACCUUAGGUUGUGUCUUGAGUUGUAAUCUUUGAUAUAAAAAUUUUGUAUAGUUUGGUUCGAUUUUUGUUCUAAUAGUAACUCGAUCGAUUGGUAAGUUAGAUUGAAUAAUAUUAGAUAAUCCCUCCUUAUCUUAAAAGAGAGAAUAUAAGGCUUACAGUUCAUUUUUGUCCCAUAGAUUUUCACAUGAAACUGGUUUGAAAUUAGGCUGACAACAGUAAAUUAUACCAUUCAAUGGCACUGUAGCAUUUUUUUCACACGUCAUUUCACUACAAUUAUUAAAAAAAGGAAUUGAGGGCAAAUAUAGAAAAAAAUUAUUAUAAAUUUUUUAAAUUAAAUUAAAAAUAAAAAUUAUUUAAUUUAAAUUUAACAAAUAACGUUCUAUCAUAAAAGAAUGGAUAAAUAUUAUGAUCAAUGAAAUAAAUAUUAUUUCAGUUCAAUUCCUAGUAUAAAAAUAUGGCUUGUAUCUGCCCAAUGUAAAUCAUCAAUGAAAUAUGAAUUCCUUCUUCAAGUUCCUUUCUCUCUCUUUCUCUUUCUUUGGUUAAUUUUCUCCGGUUAAUCUUGCAAUUCAACACGAAUUGUAUUUUUGUAACUUAUUGAAUUUAUUUCUUGCUCGACUUUCUUUUUUCAGUUUCCGUUUCCGUUUAAUCUUAAAGGGUUAGGGUUGUAGAGUUGUCCUCUUUUUCUUUCUGUCUGUUAGGGAUAUUAUACGGAUUUGUGUUUGUGAAAAUGGCCUUCGAUUUGGUGUUUUUAGUUGAUCGUAUGCUCAUUUUUUAGGGAUUUGAAUGUCAGUUUAUUUGUGAGUGUUGUAUAUCUGUAUUUGUACCUUUCGAGAAUUUGAUGGUGCCUCUCCCGGCUGGCUUUCUUGGAUUUAUAUAUUUUCAUAUUUUGUCAAUUUAUUUUUCCCCUGUACUCUACCAGCAAAAAAUUGAUAAAAGAUGUGAUAAAUUAAGUGAAAGGAGUAAUAGAUAUCUACAGGGAUAUUGAAGUUUGAAUGCAGAUCAGCAGUUGUUAAUUUUAUUGCUACAUUUCUCAGGGGUGGGGAAAAGUUGGAAAAUGUAGCUGAUUUCUAGAGAAAUCAAGAUAUAGAAAUUGUUGCCAAGUUCCCCCCUGCUUAUUUCCCCCAAUUGUGGGGUUGGGGAUGUGAGCGCAGAAAAGCUUGCCCCCUGAAUCUGUACUCGUAAUCAAUAGAGUUAUAAACCAUACUUUACCAUAUCCAGCUAAUUUUGUCGGUUAUAUUAUCAAUUUCUUUGAAACAACCCGAACUUUAUAUUUGAUUUUAUUAUUGUAAAUAUUAUCAUAGCUUCAUUGUCGAAAUACGAACUUCUUGUCUACGUCUUACAAUUGGCCAUAUAAAUCCCCACCCCCAACCUUUAUGAACAUAGUUUUUUCGUGCAAAAUUUGUAGUAUCACACGUCAGUUGUAAUCAGUGUAUGCUUUUAUUUGACUCGUUAGACCUUCACUUUGCUAGGCUUGCAGCGUAUACAAUAACAUUAACCAUCCAAGCAAGUUGACAGUUGGAGCGGACUUCCACUGUUUCAAGGAUAAAAUUGAGCCAAAAUGGGAAGAUCCUGAUUGUGCCAAUGGAGGAAAGUGAACUGUGACAGUGAUGUAUGAACGACUUACAAAUAAUAUCUUCUAAUGAGGAUUUGACUUGGAAACAUAAUCUUCCAAUAAUGUGUCAAUUGUCAGCAUGUGACACAAUAACGUAACACAUGGUUAAUUAAAUUCGUUCGGUGUUAAACUACAAGAUAUGUACAUAUUCCUUUUUGAAAGUACGUCUUUAAAUAAAUAUUUUUUUGUUAAUAAUCACGGUCUCUCGAAUACGGCAUGCGCCUUUGCAACUAGCAUGUUUCUGUUGAAUAGUGAUGGCCACUGUUCAUGCAUAGUGGAGAUUAAUUGGUAGAAAGUUUUCCAUUCACAUUUAAUGCAGAGGUUAUCAUGCAUGAGUUUCUUCUCAAAUUUCAAAUGCAAUUGGGAAUGACAUUAAAGUCACUGAAUGGAUAUGCGUGAAUAGCAUUUUGCAGCGAGUUAAGAGGGACAAAAUUGAAAGAUUAUCUCUACGUUGCAAAUAAAAUACAGAGAAUGUAUUUUUGCAUUGCUCUUCUUCUCUUGUUGAUAUAGUGAAAAAUUUGUGUGAGUUUGUGGACGUAGGCAUGAUUUUCGAACCACGUAAAUUAUUGUGUCAUACUUGCAUUUAUUUUUGUUAUCUUCAUUUGUUCUCAUUUUAAAUUAUUUUGCAUCCCACUGAUCUUGACAAAGUUAGUAGCUUUACACUUUCCACCACUAUAAUAGAAUCCUCUUUGCAAAUUUUUUAAUCAAGUUGUUCGGCUAACUUUUGAGUACUAGAAAUGAUUGUACUAAUACGUGAGAUUAUCGCUUAAAGUCUAAAAGCACAUUUUCUCAGUUCCAUACCCGUUGGAAGGUGCAAGACAAGUACAAGAUACAUAAUUAACAACUUUAUUAUAGGCAUGAAGCAAAACACAAUGGAGGAAAAAAAAAGGUUGAACCCCAACCUUGAGAGUCUCCCCCACCCGCCCCGACCCUAGAGUUUUGUGAGGGAGAUAAAUCGCGGGUUGUGCCCCAACAGGCCAGGGAACAAGAACUGUCUGUACACUGCACCUACAAGGAGUUCAAUUUCAUGUCUCAGGAAUCGAACCCCCUCACUGUGGCUACCAACAAGGCGUAAGAUAACCUCACUCCUGUCCUUUGCAUCACUAGGCUAUGCCCUCGGGGGAGGGGGGGCAAAAAAAAAAACACAAUGGAGAAUUCACACAUAAUAUUGAUUGAGUAAGGUCUAUGUCUAAUUCUUUUAGGACAUGUUUGCGCCCAAUAUUGGACAAGCCAGUACAAUGAAUAAGAUUUUAUUUAUUUUUUCUUAAUAUUUUACAGUAUUUUCUUGUUCACCCAAUACCGUGAGGUAUUUACUCUGAGGAUAAUGCAAUAGGACUUCUUCAUGAAUCCCUUCACUCCAACUAUAACAACCAAAUGCAAACUCAUUUUCCCGCAUAGGCCUCUUCACUACAACUGUUAUGUUGAAGCCCCUACUUUUCCGCUUUAGCGUUGAAGUGUAAUGUGGAUGGAGAUAUUUCUAUGGAGUAACCAGGAUUUUUUUUAAUCGUAACUGAGUAGAAGACUUAUUACCAACAUUUGUAACAGUUCGAGCGACAAAGUAUGAAGACUUACUACCAACAUUUGUAACAGUUCGAGUGACAAUCGUGGAUACUUUAAGCUUAGGCGCUUAGCAAUUGCUAGCCAUGGAUAGUUGAGAUUACUUGGCGAAGGAAUAACAUUGGGACACUUGAAAGAUGGAACGAGCAAAUUACAGUUAUUAGGACAGAGGAAGAGAUGAUAGUCAGUAUAAGAAGCAUUAUAAACAAGUCCUGAAUCAACUGCCUUUGAAGGUUGAAUGUGGCCCACGUUAUUAUGUAAAGGAAUAAAAUCUCAUAUCGCAUAAAAAUAAAAAUUUAGACUAACUUAUAAGAAUUUGGGAUAAAGUGUCUUUUUUUUUCUUUUCUAAAUAAAAUUUUUGUUUAAUGGCCCUUGAAUAUUUUGAGUACUCUUAAAGAAAUUUUUUCUUGCUACUUAGGUAACAGGCAUCUCUGCUGUAAGCCGGCCCGUAGUCGAAGCGAAAAUAUUCCAAACGAACAGUAUUUAUUGAAAUCUAAUUCGGGUAACAAGUAGGUGAUUUUCUUCUCCUUGACCAUAUCAACAUUUCAUAGUUGAUGGUUUUUUGUGUUGUGAAUCGAUGGUGAUAUACGCUGAUGUGUUGUUUUGGAUGAAACUUGUGUUAUUUUUUGCUAGGAUUUUAUUUCAUUUCUCUUGAAUGUUUAAGAAAAUGUAGGAAGACAUUUUAAAGGCCGAAAAGAAAGAACACCACUUUAUGGAAUAAAUAAAAGAGAUUCUGCUGGGAGAAUGAUUGAAUUUUUAUAAUUGCAUUCUUUGCAUCAUGACGCCUAAAUAAAUAUAUAUGUAAUUGCUCGCCUCACAAAGCAAAUUGGAACGGGCAGAUAUCUGGACAGUUUAUGGUUCACUAGAUAAAUUGAUAGCUUGUGACACUACGCGACUGCCGGCAAGCACAAAUGGCAAGAUAAACGCACGAUGUGAUCUGGAUAGGAAGCGAGUGAUCCAAGUAUGAGUUUUGCUCGAAUUCUCGUCCAGACAUUUUUGUUGAAGGCGAACCGGUGGCAAGAAGCUGAAACAUUAAAAAUUCUAAUUUUUUUUCUCCAUUUAUGUGGGCUAGUAAUGAAAUCCACUGUGUUCAUAUCUGUAGAAGCAUAUCACUUUUUUAUGACUUAGUCCAAAAGUUCCCAUGAAGAAAUUUACAAGCCAAUUUCCUUCUUACUACUGCUACUACUCUUACUACGUGCCUUUGUAAUACAUUUUAAUUAUUUAAUUAGUAAUAAUUGAAGAAAUGAAUUAAAAUAAAAUCACUUAAGAAGUUUUAAAAUAUAAAAAAAAUGAUUAUUUAAAGUUAAAACGAAAAUGUCACAACAACCAUAUAGACACGUCAUUCUACAAUUAUUUAAGGAAAACAUUACAUAAAACAAGUGAAUACAAUAUUUUCAUUAAUUUAAUGUAAUUUAUGCAAUUGUAAAGUAAAUGACUAAAUAAUUUUUCAGGUUAAUAAAUUGUUGAGAAUAAAAAAAAAUGAAGAAAAUAGUUAAAUACUGUUUAUUUGGUGUAGUGGAUUGGAGAUGAAUUUUAUUUUGGUACAAGAUUUUGGGCAAAAUAGUGCAAAACUCACCUUAAAUUUUGAUUUAGGGUUGGAGAUGGCCUAAGAACUUCAACAAUUAGAACAAAAAUAGAGGACCUCACGAAGAAAAAUAAGCACUUUAUACCUCGUAUGCAUUGAUUGUGGUGUUCAAUAUAGAUAGUUGGUGAUUGACCAGAAUAAGAUAAAAUGACAAUUGGUGAUUGAAAAUGAUAUAUUUAAUAUUUCUAAGAAAGUUGUGAGAUAAUUUAAUGAGAACUUGAACAUGUUUUUAAAUAGAAAGGUUUGAGAAUUCAUUUAUUCUUUUUUGAAAGUUAAAGACUGACCAAGGAACUUCAACACUUAGAACAAUAGUAGCAUACCCCACAAAGAAAAAUAAGUACUUUAUACCUCAUAUACGUUAACUUUGGUGUUCAGCAUGAACAAUUGGUGAUUGAACAAAAUAACAUAAAAUGACAAUUGACGAUUGAACAGAAUAACAAAAAAUGAGAAUUGGUAUUUGGAAAUCAAACAUAUUUCUAAGAGAGUUGUGGAAUAACUUAACGAAAACUUGAAUUUAUAUUGAAGGUCAAGAGUUCAUUUAUUCUUUUUUGAAAGUUAAAGACACACUAAGACCUUCAAAAAUUAGUGAAAAACAAUAAUAACGGACCCAAGAAGAAAAACUAGCACUGUAUACUUCGUAUACAUUGAUUUUGGUGUUCGGAACAUGGCCACAUAGCCCUGUUUUUCCAGGGUUUGUGGCCUUGUUUGAGAAGAUUUAUCCUUUGAAAGGCUCUGUUUGAGAAGAUUUAUUCUUUGAGCGCAAAUAGUUUGAAAAGGGGUCGAAUCUUCAACUUGUUCCUUUAUGUUUAGUAAUUUUUUACUAGUUCAAAUAUAAAAACAACACAAACAAAUUGGUUUGUCAGUCCGUUAUACAAAAGUUAGCCCUUGUUUGGUAGAGAUUAAAAUCGAAUUUUUAGUAAAUUUUGAUAAAAGUUGAUGAAAUAUGUAGUUGAAAAAUUGUAGGUUACAUGAAAUAUGCGGUUAAAUUUGGCUAUACAUAGAUAAAUUAAUAGAACUAGUGCAUAAUUAGUACGUAGGGUACUGAAUAGCCUUGUACAACCUGUAAAACACGAUUUCAUGUAGCGUGUUCACUAAUCAUCUGAAUUCUUAUAUUCUAUUACAAUGUUAAGUCCCUAUUUGAUUUAGCUAAAAAUCAGAUUGAUAAAAAUUGAUUAAAAUUGUGAGUAUCAUAAAAUGUGUGAUUAAAAUUAAUUAUUGAUUUCAACUUAAAUUUUUGUCAACUUUUUUAAUUAAAUGUGAAAGCGUAUGUGGCAUAUGAUCAUAAAAAGAAUAAAAAAGUACCUAAGUUAAAUACAGCCGGAGUAGUUUUGGGCAAAGAAAGAGAACAUUAAGUGCAUGUUUAUACAUAGAACUCGACAAAUUUUUUCUUUAAAUCUUGUCUGUUAUUUUACAUUUAACCUUACUAAACAAGCCAUAAAAAUAUGCACUUUUUCGUAUAUUUAUUUAGGGUAUAUACUGUAUGACACGAAGAUAUAUUUUCUGACAACUUUCAAGAGUACGACAAUUUGUUGAGAGAAUAAUUCUGCAAUCCUAUGUACCUGUUAAUAUCGUCACAGAGAUAUAAGGUUAGGUGGAUAGAGAUCUCUGGAAGAGGUAAACGAAGAGCCAAUUUCUAGUGCAUCAGAAGGAUUAGAAAGGGUCUGAGUUUUACUUGAACUAGGUUUCAAGUCUUCAAACUUCUCUCUGAGUGAUUGAAGCUUCAAUUCAUCUUCGUAGAUGCUUGGAUCUAUCUUAAAUUCCUGAACAUUUAUAUAUCCUUCAAGCAUGCCACAGACCAUGGACAUUGGAGGCCUUAGGGAUGGAGAUGGAUUGGUGCACAAUAGAGCAACUUUGAUCGUUCGUUUUGACUCGUCCAUAUUGAAAUUUGAACCCAACCUUGUAUCCACGAGCUCCAUCAACCUUCCUUCGUUCUGCAAAAUCGUAGCUUGAGACGAAAGGCUAUUGCGUGAGACCUUUCUUCGUGGACAUAAGAACGAAAAAUAGGUUAAUGAGAUAAAACUUCAUUAUCUGAUUUGGAGAAAAUACAAAAAUCUUACCCAAUCAAGAAGGCAAAUGAAACUUUCACUGGGUCGAUAUUUCAUGUUGCUCUUUCCAGAAACAAUUUCUAGUGCAACGACGCCAAAACUGUACACGUCUGCUUUGUAGGUUAAGUAACCCCACAUUGCAUAUUCUGGAGCCAUAUACCCACUACAAAAUGAAAAUGAUCAAAUGCAUAUUAGCACAAGCUUUCGCUCCUAUUUCUCAAAUAAACAAGCUCAAAUUUCAAAUGUUGCACGUGGAUGAUUUGAAUAAUAAUUUAGUGUUGCAAAUGUUGUGAUAGUAAAUAUUCCAAAAGACUUUAAACUGCUUUCAUCUUGUUCAAGUUUGUAUAAAAAGUUCAAUUGUAAGUAAAUAAAGUGAAUUUUUCAAUAAAUAAUUAUUUUAUUGGUCAACUAAAAAUGGUGAGAUGAAGAAAGAGAAAAAAUCUCACAUGGUCCCUGCAACUCUAGUGCUGAUGUGGGAGUUAUCAUCCUCAUCGAGCUUAGCUAAACCAAAAUCGGAAAUCCUUGGAUUGAGGUCUUUAUCAAGAAGAAUGUUGUUAGGUUUUAUGUCUCUAUGAACAAUUUUCAAUGUGGAUUCUUCAUGCAAAAAAGCCAAGCCUCUUGCUAUACCGAUACAAAUUCUUUGUCUGGUUGGCCAGUCCAUUUUUAAUUGCCUUUCCUCUGGUCCUGUACUUGAUAAUACGAUUCAAUUAAGUGUGUGCAUGGAUUUUAAAUACUAAAUUUGUAUAUUAGACAAGAUUUUAAAGAAUGCAUAACGCAGGUACAAAUUCCAAUUACCAUAUAAAGCGCGGGCAAGGCUAUUGUUUUCCAUGUAUUCAUAAACCAGCACUAAAUGGCUUCCCUCAAUGCAACAUCCAUACAAUUUUACGAGAUUUGGAUGCUGUAAACCAGAAAUCAUGCCUAUUUCAUUCACGAAUUCACGGUUCCCUUGCUUUGAUUUGGAAGACAGCUGCUUGACAGCAAUUACACUACCAUCCAACAGUAUACCCUGCAAAUGAAGCAUUUAUAGUAUCACAGACAUGCACGCAUAUAGAAAUGUUAGAAAAAUAUAAGCGCGAAGGUAUAGACAAAGUAUAAGAGAGAAAAGUUGGAAGUUAAUAUUUCUACAUACCUUGUAGACAGAUCCAAAACCACCUUCCCCAAUUUUAUUUGCAGCAUCAAAGUUGUUUGUGGCGGCUUUGAUUUGUCUAAAAGUAAAAAAGCCAGUCCGCAAAUCUAAUCCCCUUAGUUCUGGAAAAGAACAAUUUUUAGAUGUUGAAUUCAUUGUAAGCUAUAUAGUUAAGGAUUCCACCAUCUCUCUUUUUCUCUAUACAGUACACUAGAAUAUGUUCUAGUUUUUCUUUGAUCUAUUGCUUGUCCAUGGUCACAUCACCACGAGAAAAUUAUUUAUCCAAAAUUUGAGAGUAACUUCCAUAGAUGUCAUGUGAUGCAUUACUACUGUAAGACUAUCCAUAAAAUUAUAUACGACAAUUCAAUAUUUACAUUCUUGCUUAAAUACUAAGAAAGGUCUAUUUGUUUACCUUCUUCCCUUGAGAUCCUGCCUCCUAUAUAGCCUUUCCACCAAGAAAAAAUAAGAAUAAUGAGAAUGAAAAAAAUUGCCAAAGCUGUUACUCCUGUUGGGAUGAAAAUAUUCGUUCCUCCGGACGGAGGCUUAAAAUCUACAUAAUGAAAGAAAUAAAGAAUAAUUGUUACAUGGUGUUCAGUUUGCUAGCUAGCACCAGAAAAAAUCACAUAAAGGAAUUGGUAUAGGAAAUUUGAGAACAAUAACAAGUGAAAAAGAACGAUAAUAGAUUAAUUAAUAGAGUACUAAUUUAAGUGCCAACAACACCUGAGUUUUGUCGCUUAAGUUGCAAAAGAUUAGUGGUUGUGCAGAUAAAAUGUAUAUUUUCUCAAAUAAAUCGAUAAAAAAAAAUCUUAAGAGAGAUAGAGGUGUUUUGAGGAUAAAUUUAAUGGUAUUACACAGACUAUCUUACCAGAUUCCACAGAAAUGGCAGAUAUCAAAGGGCCAUAUACUGUUCUGAAAGGGAUGUCUAUUGAUCCUUUCCCAGAAUAGUAAAAUCGGAUAUCCAAAGUUAUAUUCUUAACCGUCGCAUUAAAUGGUUUUUUCACAGCUUUAGCAACUCCUUUCGCUUCCUUCUUAAUAUCAAAAUCUUUCAAUUUCAGUUCAUCCUGUAUUAUGUUGAAUAAGUUUGAGUCAAAUCGCAAUAGUAAAUAGCACCAAAAAGAACUGUUUAUUUAUUACUUGACCUGGAUAUAAACGUCAAACAUCCGUCUCCCAAGACUCUGGAAAGAGUUAUCAUCUCUGAAAACUAUCUCUGCAAAGUGAAGUGUCACAGUGUAGUUUCCAUUUGCUAAGCAACGCCCGUAAUAAGUGAGAGAUAAAGGAGAUAGACGCGCAUCUGUAUAGAGUUCAGAGUCCUUCAUUUUCAGCACAGAUACAUUGUUGGCAUUAUAGUGAUUCUUGAACGAGGGAAACUGUCCUGUACUACUAGCUCCCCAGUUCUCUUUUGAGUGAACAAAUUGAACUGAACCUCCUAUUUGUACAUCAGCUUCAAAUCUUUUGUUGCCAACAGUAACUUCCCCUCCACCACAAUUUACAUAAAAGGAAUACCAAUCUGUGAAAAACCAAAGCAUAUUAAGUUUUUUAGAACAUUUCCAAAAGAUUCUUUAAACAUAAAAUAUUCUCUAUUUUAAAGAAUCAAGCCUUAAAGUUAUGUUUCAAGAGACUCUUUAAUUUAACAUUUUAAUUUAUAGAGAGUUUGACUCUCCAAAUUUAGAGAGUCAAACACGCUCUUUAUAAUUUAAUGCAUUUAAAAUAUUUCAAUUUUCAGUGAAAAAUAAUAUAAUAAUUUAGAGGAAAGCUAGUGAAAAUAAAAGACAAGAAAAAAAUAAUAAAUAUUUUUUUGAAGUAGUAAAAUUAAGUAUUAUAUACAAUGUUUUGAAAACUGGCCAGGACAUCGACCCGGAAAAGAAUAAGGGUCAAGGGUAGAAAGGUUGAACCGGGGUCGAACCGGGAUUGAAGCGUAUGCUAUAACUAAGUAAAUAAAUACACCUAAAUAAUAAAAAUAUUAUAACAAUUUUGUUAACAAAAUUAGUAUCACUAAUUCAAACUAAAUAUAAAUCCACAUUUGUCAAUUAGAUUUAUUAUCUUAUAAUUUAUUUUAAAACUUCAAAAACUAAUUAUUAAUAUGUCCAAAAUAAUUUGCUUUGUUCAAUUGAAAUUGUUUGUACUUUGGGGACCAUGAUUUUCAUAUAAUGUAGAAUGAAGUAGAUAAUUAAACAUUUUUUAAGAAUUCAAUUGGCCAUAGACCCUGUAACUUUUAUAAUUAUAAUUUAUCUCACAGUUGACCAUAGAAAAUAUGGAAUUUUUUGAAACUAGCUGACCACUUAUCCAACGGCCCAAGUCCUAACUCUAUCCCACAUCGGUUGAACAAUGAAAAGGUGCGAGAGGAUUCACUUUUAAAAGUAGCAACAUGCUGUGUUCAAUAAAACAGGCCUGCUACCAUUGCAAUUGGGCCCAUUAAGCAAACUUAAAAUCAAUUUUUGAAUAAUAAAAUAUAUAAAGUGCAGCUUAAAGGAACCGGUAAAAUCGUGUCCGGUUUUACGUUUUGCAGUUAACCGGACGGUUCGAAGGUUUAUUGACCGGUUUUUAGUUAAUAGGGUUAAUAUGUAGUGACCGGAUCGGAUUUGAGGGCGGUUCAUGAUUUUUUGGGUUGAACCGACCGGUCAGGUCCGGUUUUAAAAUUAUUGAUUAUAUAUAAAAAACUUGUUGAAGUACUCAAAAAUUUUUACUCCCUAAAUUUAAAUGUUUUUUUGUCGUUGGAGCUCAUUCCAUGAUCUUAGAAAUGGUGAAUUUCGGGCUCAGUUUUUAAUUAUAUUUCUCUACCAAACAACCAAUCUGCACUACUCCAACCCACAAUCAGUAUAUUCAUCUCGAUUUCUCCUCAGUCUCACCUACAAAGAAUAAGGUAAUGGUGAUGAUUUGUAGGCCACGAAGGCAUGGGAAAAACAACGAAAAAGGCAAGAGAAUGGACCAAAAUACACAAGAUGAAGGCACUGAUUUUCUCUCUAUAUGGCUGCUGACUUUUCCAGGAAGAAGCAACCAUAUUUUUCCUCAUUUUCAUAAACAAAUCAUACACUAAUGGCAAGGGGAAAAAGCAACAUAUAUAUAGGGUUAGGUUAGGCUUUAGUUAGACCAAUAAGGGUUAAAUGAGCCAAAAUUCAAAGUCAUCCAAGAGGUAAUAUCUAUGGGCUGUGAGUAGCUUUAAUUUCUUAAGCUACUUCCUACGGUCCAUAUGGUUUUUAGGUCGCGCUUUUAGACUUAAUUGUUGGUAACAAUUUCACUCAUCGGCCAAUACCUAUGAAAUUCAAUCUGACAUUUACAUCAUAGUCAAAGAUUUAUUAGGUAGCAAAACUCAACAAAUCUUCACCUUUAUACCCAAUCAACUUACAAGUAAUCAAAUUACAAAGUUAGUACUUACACAAUCAAAGUAACUAAUAAAAUUGGAAUCACAGGCUUUACCUCGUGUUUUGGACCCAAAACACAUACCAUACCAACUUUAUGUACUCGCCAGGGCUAUGGUCUUAAACAAAUACCCAAGUAGAAGUAUAUAAUAACAGUAAACAAUCAAGAGCAAAUAAAUAUACGAUGAAGAUAUAACAUAAGAUAAUACACAGAUCUUUUCAAAAUCAUAUUCGCACAGAACAAAAGAUUAACACCAAGUUAAUCAACAAACGAUCAACAUAUAUACAACAAAUGCAUAAAUGACCACAUGAAAAGAUCUUACCACACUUAUCCUAUCCCAUUUUUGUUCCCCUCUCAUUGCUCACCAUGUUUACUAAAUUGAUUAUUCAACUCAUGUCUAACAAGUAAAUCACAAUAGGUCAUAAAUUCGUGGGAUAAUCCUAUAUCGCCAUAUCAUUUUUCCAACCUACGUGGGGUGGAUAAAUGAGUAUCCACCUAACAUAAGUGAUAGAAGUGUAUCUUUUACACUCCACAUGAUCAUGAUUUUCUCAGAUAAAGAAUUCCAACAUUUAAUCACAUUUUCACUCGUGAUCAAAAUGUCACAUCUCACAUUCCUGGUACAAACCAUCAAUGCACCCCUAGUCAUCUAUACUUCACCUCACCAAUAGACACACAACACAAUUAUUGCUAAUACAUCCUAACCCACUAUGCAUGCAAACAAUUAUACCAAAUAAUCACAUUGCUCUCAAAUUCAUACAAUGGCACAUAUUAAACACAUAGAAAUGUCAUAUAACUAUGCAACAUAAUUAAGCAAUCACACACACAUGCAGAAAUGAUUACACACAUAUGCACAUGCAAUAACUAGGUUUACUCUCAAUAAACCUCACUACGAUUAUCACUCGACCUUAUAGCCAUAUUCACCUCACCUCACCUCUCAUCUUACCCUUUUGCUUAUCCCUUUUUUGGGACAAUCUCUCACAAAGUGUUCCGACUUACUAAAGCUGUAACAUUGGUUACCACUAGACUUAUCCGAACCUUUAACCUUUUUUUUACCACCCUCAUCACUCGAGUCACCACUUGAAUCACAACUGUCUUGAUUUCUUCCCAAAUUUAUUUGUUUAAACUUCAUUUUACUCUUCAUUAUAUAUAACUCACAACUCCUCUUAUCCUCCUUUUCAGUCUUAAUCUCUAUUUUCUUAUUGUUAAGAGAAUCUAUGGCAAUAUCGGGUGUAAAGAUGUCCCUUCCAUAUUUAAUUGCAUUCUUAACCUCUCUAUAUGAAUCAUGUAUUGAAUUAAGUAAAAUAAUGGCCUGAUACGUUUCAUACACCUCCUAUCACAGUUAAAAUUAUAUUGAACGAGCUUCUUAAAAACAUCUAAAAAUAUAUUGAACGAGCUUGGCAAGGAUUCAUUUUAAAAUUGAAAAAUCUUUUGAGCAGACACAAUUUAUUAGGAGUAGACUUAAGUAAAUAUAAAUCCUCCAACUUUUUUCAAAGUUUUUUAGUAGAAUCAAGUUUUUCAUUUUUUCUCAAAAUAGUGUCAGAUAGGUGUAAAAUAAUUGAUGUGUAAGUAAAUUUAUCCUAUUCUUCUUUUCGUGCUUCCAUCAAAUUUGCUGAAAAUUUGUCAUUUAUGACUUUUGAAACUUUUUGUUGAACUAAACUUUCCUUCAUUUUUUGUUGCCUAAUAGAAAAUUCCCCAUUCUUAUUGAAAAUUUCAACUUCGAAAUGUGAUGACAUUUUGAAAAAUAGAACAACUAAAGUGCACAAAUAUGUCACACAAAGUAAUCAUAAGGGCGCACUAUAUAUCAUUAUAGAUUCCCAGGGUUUCGUGAGACUUGAGAUCUCCGUAUCAAGGAAAUGUUCAAAUGGGUUAAUUCUAGGCAUUCUAACAGAAUAACCAAUGUAACACGAAGGUAUAUCAACAAAAAUUUAGUUUUUCACACAAUCCAGUCUCACACAGUGACUAAAUGGCAACUAGAGCACAAGGAUAAUUAUCAACUUACUAUCCAAUUCAACACUUCAAAUAUGGCAAGUAAUGCCUAAAUUUCUAGCACAAUCAAUGGUUAUCGACAUGGUAACCCCUAUCCUGAAAUAGAAAUUUAAAUUGGGAUAAGCCAAUAAAUCAGAAUGAACCAAUCUCAGUCCAUAAAUAGUGAGAGAUGCGAAUUUACACUUUUGGGCCACCACUACUUGCCAUAAAGUCUCCAUCAAUCGCAGAAAUCAAUCAACCAUGAUCGAAUCCCGAACACACGAAGGAUAAAUUUAUCCAGAUUCCACUGUAUAAACGGAAACAGAAAACUAAUAACAUCAAAAUGUUAGGAUUAAAUUACCUGAAGAGACCUCUAUCUGAAACCUUCGCAUGCGCCCUCAAGCGCCACCAACAGCCUCUGUGCAUGGGAUUCAUGCACUAGCCACUCUAGCGCGCCUUCACUUGCACGUCACACUAGUAGUCUCCAUUUCACCAAACUCAUUCUGGUUUGAUCAGAAAUCAUGAAAACAGCCUCAAUUUUUGUGUAAUUUUCUAGACAGUUUUCCAAUCUAUUUUCUGCUUCGUUUCAGCCAAUUUUCCGUCAAAUUUUCGAGCCAAAUCUAUUACUUGAAGCUUUGAUACCAAUUUUUGAGGAAGCUUUCUCCAAGAUCUUCGAAACAGUGAUUUUCGGGCUCAGUUUUACAUUACUUUUCACUACCAAUCAAUCCACACACUCUAACCCACAACCAAUUUAUGCACUCGGUUCCUCCUCAAUCUCACUCAUAAAUGACAAGAUAACGGUGAUGAUUUGUAGGCCACAAAGGCACGGGAAAAAUAACGGAAGAAAGCAAGAGAAGGGACCAAAAUACACAAGAUGAAGGCAUCGGUUUUCUCUCUCCAUGGGAGCCUAUUUUACAUGAAGAAGCAACCAUGUUUUCCCUCUUUUUCAUACACAAAUCAUAUACUAAUGGCUAGGGUAAAAAGUAACAUACAUAUAGGGUUAUGUUAGGCUUUAGUUGUGCCAAUAAAGGGUUAAAUAGGUCAAGAUUCAAAGCUAUUCAAUAGAUAAUAUAUAUAGGUCGUGAGUAGCAUUAAUUUUUAAGCUACUUCCAAUUGUCCAUGUUGUUUUCGGAUUGAGCCUUUGGACUUGAUUGUUGAUAAUAAUUCACUCAUUGACCAAUGCCUAUGAAAUUGAAUCCGAUGUUUACAUCGUAGCCCUAAAUUCAUUGAGUAUCAAAAUCCAACACUCUAAAUUGUAGAAUAUGCUCUUGAGUGUAAAAAGACAAAAGUGCUAUAACUAUAUACGAUAUAUAACAUUACUAUUGCAUUCUUUUUGUUUUUAGUUUUCAACUUGAGUACAAAAAAUGAUAUUGCAAACGUGAUGGUAUACUACGCUUGGAUGAUGAGAUUCGAGUAAACAAUCAAGGCUGAGCUUGUAAAACGAAGUACUUACCCUUUGAACAAGGAGUGAGGCACUUUCCAUGUUCUCUGUAUCAAGUCAUAUGGCAAGGGAGCAUAUUGAAUAAUAUGAUAUACAAAGUUAUGUUUAGAUUACAAUAAUCUUAUCUACAUAAGAAGCAACUUAAAAACUUACAAACUGUUUUCUCCACUAAAGCUUCUGAACAAGUUUCUGAUGCAGAAAGAAAGGGAAAAAACAAAUUGAAGCUAUGAAAAAUAUACAGAAAGAAAGCAUACAAAGAAAACGAAGAAAAAUUGGGGCUUACAUAUUGUUCCUGCAAAUUGAUGGAUCAGAAGUCUCAUUGAAGUUAUUGUAAGAAAGAUCUACGUGGCUGCAAAUGCAUUUAAUAUCUCUUUAAGAACUUAUUUCAAUCCUCUAAAAUCAAUGAAAGAAAAGAACCCAUAAAUUACAUAGUGAUAGAUGUCCAACAGUAUGUAGUAACUAAAGUAAAAAUGAGAUUCUUUUCGAACUUAUGAGACUAGUCCUAUAUCUUAAGGUGAGCUUCAACAACAAGAUGGCAAUUGUAUAUCUGGCUAUAAAGAUGUCAAUAGAGGUUCUGAGAGAAACGGAGAAAUUUCAUUUCUGUAUAAAUUUGAGGACAUCGUCAUUUAUGAUGGACAAUGCUACUAUUAAAUCACAUAGAUAAUUUUAUAGACGUUAAAUAAUAAGAAAUAUAGAAGUGAACUUACAGUUCUUCACUUAUGCUUUGGAUCCACUUUAGAAUUUGCCCACUAAGAAAGUUACUAGUCAGAAACCUAAUCACAAACAUAAAAUCCAAAUGAAAUCAAAAUUAUACAUUUAGAUUACAGAACAAAACAUCAUGAAAGAACAGAAGUAUAGCCUAGUAGAGUAUAUGAAUGACGCUUGAACACUAAGGAUUGAAUAUGAACUGGACAUCCUUAAGUUUGGUUACAGUAGUCCUUAUUACUUGUUUUGGAAAUAAAAAGUAGGAUUUAGGAUAUGAACACGAACAAAGUCUUCCAUUAUCACGCUGCAAUAUAUGACAGGUGAAUGACAGACCAAAGCUUUUGUACAAAUCAAUUGAAUAAUAUCAUACUAAUUCACUUACAAGUUCGUUAGAAUUGGUAGGCGAUCAAAAUCUGGAACCUCUCCUUUUAAGUUGUUAAAGCUCAGAUCUCUGUGAAUACACCACAUGAACAUCUUACGACCAAACGCAUAUUUUCUCAGCUUAACAAUAUAGCAGUGCAUAGUUAUCAUAACAUAGAAAAGUAUACCUAAAUUUUGUAUGAUAUCCAAAAAGAAAGAAAAAAGAUGGGCACAAAAGCAAUGGAAGCAUAGGAAAACAAACAAAAAUUACAGGAUUUUGUAAUGUAGGUCUUGGGAAAAACUAAUGUGGCAAGCUCUUGGAUGGUACAAAACUUCACAAUCUGAAAAUGCACAUGGAACGUCCUCUAUAUUUUUCCAUAGCUAGGUCUCCACCACAAGUACAUAUUUUAUUACAAGCAGUAGGUUUUUGUGGCAUGGAGUACAACAAAUUCGUGUUUUUGGUCACUAUCUUCAACAAGUAUCAAUAUAAGAGUCAAAUAUACUCAAUGAUAAUCAAUAAUACUCGAUGUCCUUCAAUGUGAGAUGUUCUCUUAUUAUAUAAAAUUAAAUUCACAAAUAAAUAUGGUAGUUAUCAAUUAUAAUUAUUCAUUAAUGGUAACUUAUUAAAUAUGGUAGUUUUCCUUAUAUUUCACUGACAUCCCCUCUAAAAUCUCAAAUUGAUGCUUAUUAAUUUGCAAUCAUAAGUUGACGGUGGCGACAUUGCUCGUGCCCACGAAAAAGAUAUCCAAAUCAAAGUAAUCAUCUACGAAAAAUUGUUACAACGAGAGAGCAAGAACAAUAAAUAGUACAGAAACAUCCAAAAACUACCUCAAGAAUAUUCCAAAACCACUCUAGAGAGUUCACAGGCCAAGAAGAAUUUCAAAAAGAAAUUCAUGAAGUGUACCGAUCACAUAAUGAGAUCGGGAGAACUCAGUCAAAUACAUAAUUAGUAUUCCAUCAAAAUCUCUAAUGGACAAUAUAUCGGCCAAAAAAUUAGUAAUAUAUCGUUGUCGGGACGCUAUAAUUGGAAGAAAUAUCAGAAAACAGCCUACACAAAAAAAAACCCCAAAGAUGAUCUGAAAACCCAAAACUCUUGCUCGUCACUCGAGCAACCGAAGCUCCUCCCAUGUCUCUCUCAUCCCAAUGACCCAUCAAUAUGAUUGCCAAGUUCCUUAUUGGAAGCAAAUCAAGCCACAUCCAUGUCGCCCACAAAGAGAAACCGCAAUUUAUAGCCCAACUGCUCACAACCCGUAAUUACCUUAGCCCAUUUUUAAUCAAGUUAUACCCUCACGUCCAAAAGUCGAGCCUACUUUCAACAAAUCCCUAACCUAUUCAAAAAGCCUAGAAUAAAAUACUCCUUAUUCAAAAUUGUUGAGGCCCAUAAUCAUCCAUUAAAGUCUUCAAAACCUAACCCAUUCAUCAAAUAAUAACGACGUCCAAACGAACAAAGCAACAGGCCCACCUACAAAUCCAUGACUCAGUGUCUUUUUUUAUCCCAUUCACUUAAGAAUCUUCAGAUCACUGCUAAAAAUCCAUGAAUUUUACUCUCAAUAGUAACACUUCCUCUCUUUAAUCUGACAGUCUUGGAUUGAACUGAUACACAUUUUUUGCGCAAAUCUACAUAGUCACAUUCACAGAAGUGUGAUUGUGUGUGAAAUGGCGUGUGAAGGAUUGUAGAAAAGUAAUGGGGUCUAGGAUAAAAAUCAAAUUCCAAUAAGAAUUCUCUCUGCUUCUGAUGAUAAAGAUAUGUUGGCUGGUGCUCCACCUCAGAAUUCCCAAUCAUUGAUGAGCCUCUGCACCUCAGAAUUGCUAGCAUUCAACGAGAAAUAUGGUGCUCCAUGGUCGAAUAAUAGCUCUCUCUCAUCUUCAGCAAUUUCUCUGCAUUGAGAGAUCCGACCCUUGGGUCGUCUAGUGGACUACUGGACUCAAAAAUGGUGACUAAAAUUUCCAUUUCUUCUAGAAUCAACUGUUCCUGAAAUCCCAUUGCCUAUGACAAAUUGGAGGUGACGCUUUACAUGUCAGCAACGGCUGCGAGUAAGCUUGGUUCUGUUCAGUUCAUAGCAAUUUACAAGAUCGAACACAAGGAAUAUGGAUAGGGUCCAUAGCAGCGGGGGCAAACUUUUCCUAAUCUUUCUCUUCCAAUUAACUUUUCCCCCUAUAUUGUUGGAAUUAAUUGAAUUUGAUUUGGGUUUAAAAUAUUAAAUGUAAUAUUUAAUGAUAUGGGCCAUUGCAAUUAAUUUGGGUGAAUUGGAAAAGUCUCCAAUAUAGGCCCAUAUGUUGAUAAGCCCAUUUUAAGUGUUUUUUAUAUGGAAAGGAGUCCCACAUCGAAAGUUUACAAGAAAACAGUCUUGUUUAUAUAGUGGGUUGUGUGAAUAAUAUAUAAUUUAACAUGUUACCUACCACUUGGCUAACUUUAGCUAGCCAAAGGCUAGCAAACUAGCCAAAGGCUAGUCACCACUAGAGUGGUGCUUCGCACCACUAGCACUGCUCCCCGGACCCGGUCCCGGCACGCGCACGUGCACGUCGCAAAGUACGCAUUGGGCACUUUAGAGGUGCACUUGGUACUUGGCACGUACGCAUCGUCGGAGGAGCUGGGGAGCCUUAUAGUUUUCAAAAAUGGACUCGUGGUUCGAUGAGGUGGCAGCACAAGGCUCGGUGAGUUGGCAUUCUAGGUGGCGCACUAGUGGUCGGCAUUCUAGGUAGCGCACGAGUGGUAGGUCGCGUCCCUUCAUCCUGCAUGGCGGUUAGAUGUACGUGUGGUAUCCGCAUGGCUGUGACUGUUCAGAAAUUGGUGAAUAGGCAUGAUGAAUGGACACUUCACUUCAUGGUUCAAUCUGGGCCGUCAGAUCAUAAAAAUAGUGCGAUCCAAUGGCUAAGACGAAUCAAACCAAGUGGUGCACCAGUUCCUGAAAUGUCACACACCUGUUCCAUGAGACACUUCAAUCUCUAUAAAUAGGGACCCCCAGAUUCGUUUUUUGAUACACCAAAUCAAUUACGAAUUCAAUUGAUUUCUAAAUUCUUCUCUCUCCAUAUUCUUCUCCAAAAAAAAAUCUCUUAUACUUCCGUGGUUAUUCCGUUCAAGUAUGAUCAUUCAUUGGUUCGACCGACAAGGUUGGUAUUGUGUAGUAUCGACUUUGGAAGGAGCGUUGUAUCUUGGGAGACAGACGUUCAUAAUCCCGUUUGCACUUUAUUGUGAGGCGAAAUCUGUCUUAAGGAGAUUUGCUCACUUUAUUAGCAUACCUCGCUUCAUUUACUGUUUAUUUUUCUACUUAUUUUAUUUCUUCUUUUGAUUGCGUUCGUCGAAUUUUCGACAACAAUCUUAAGACAGACUUUUUAUUUUCUCAUUUCUUCUACAUUUCUAUUAUUGAUUAUUUUCUGUAAGUGUGGUUUUACAGAAAAUGGCUAGUACAUCAAAUAAUAAUACUAGCGCUGUGAUUGGUACUGUUGAGAGCAAUACUAAUGCGGUGAUUGCGCCAAAUUCAGGUUCCAAUCAAUUUGUCAUGCCGCCGGCUUCACAAUAUGAGAAACCGAAAAAGUUCAAUGGCACGGAUUUCAAACGUUGGCAACAGAAGAUGCUAUUCUAUUUGACAACAUUGAACUUAGUAAAAUUUCUGCGUGAAGAAUGUCCUGCACAAACAUCGGAGAAUGCUACUGCUAAAAAUACUCAGUUAGCUAUUGAAGCAUGGAAACAUGCAGAUUUCUUAUGCCGUAAUUACAUUCUCAAUGGAUUAGAUAACACUUUAUAUAGUGCGUAUUGUAAUUACAAGACGACUAAAGAACUGUGGGAGUCUCUUAACAAAAAAUACAAAACUGAAGAUGCCGGAAUGAAGAAAUUCAUUGUCGGCAAAUUUCUAGAUUUCAAGAUGACUGAUUCAAAGACAGUUAUGAGUCAGGUUCCAGAGAUACAAGUUCUACUUCACGAUAUUGAAGCUGAAGGUAUGACUUUAAGUGAAUCUUUCCAAAUAGCUGCGAUGAUCGAGAAACUACCUCCACUAUGGAAAGAUUUCAAAAACUAUCUCAAGCAUAAACGCAAAAAGAUGACGAUGGAGGAUCUAAUUGUUCGACUUCGCAUUGAAGAAGACAAUCGGGCUACAGAAAAGAAGAAUAAUGUCCGCAACAUGGAAGCAAAGACUAACAUGGUAGAAGACUCGGGGUCUAAGAACAAGAAAAGGAAGUGUUCUGGCUCAUCUAUGGACAAAGAAAAAGUCAACAAUACAAAACGAUUCAAAGGCAACUGUUAUAUUUGCGGGAAGCCGAGAUAUCAAGCUAAAGACUGUCGAAGCAAAAAGAAGGAUACGCAGAAAAGGAAACCGCCCCAAGCCAAUAUAACCGAAGUGGAUAAAAUUUCUACGGAUGUUGNNNNNNNNNNNNNNNNNNNNNNNNNNNNNNNNNNNNNNNNNNNNNNNNNNNNNNNNNNNNNNNNNNNNNNNNNNNNNNNNNNNNNNNNNNNNNNNNNNNNNNNNNNNNNNNNNNNNNNNNNNNNNNNNNNNNNNNNNNNNNNNNNNNNNNNNNNNNNNNNNNNNNNUAGAUUUGUACUUACUAAGGGGGGCAUGUAUGUUGGGAAGGGUUAUUUACUUGAUGGUCUAUUUAAGGCCAAUGCUGUUGUAGUGGACAAAAAAUCCACAUAUCUGUAUCCACAAGUUAUCAAUAAAACUAAUGCUUCUGUUUACUUGCUUGAAUCUUCAAAUUUAUGGUAUAGCAGAUUAGGACAUGUAAAUCGUGCUUCCUUAAGAAAACUUGUAGGUUUAGGUCUUAUACCUAAACUUGACUCCGAAAAUAAACAUAAAUGUGAAAUUUGUGUUGAAGCAAAAUUUGCUAAAAAAACCUUUUAACACAAUUGAAAGGAGUAGUGAACCGUUGUGUUUAAUACAUAGCGAUAUUUGUGAUCUAAAAUUUGUUCAGACUCGAAGUGGUAAAAAAUACUUUAUCACAUUUAUAGAUGAUCACAGUAGAUAUUGCCAAGUUUAUUUAUUAAGUAGCAAAGACGAAGCAUUGAAUGCAUUUGUUACUUACAAAAAAGAAGUUGAAAAUCAACUUGGAAAAACAAUUAAGGUAUUAAGAUCCGAUAGAGGUGGUGAAUAUGAUUCGUCCAUGUUUGAUGAAUUAUGUGCUCAGUUUGGUAUUAUUCACCAAACAAUAGCCCCGUAUACUCCGCAGCAAAAUGGGAUUGCUGAGAGGAAAAAUAGAACUCUAAAAGAAAUGGUUAAUGCUAUGCUUAUAAGUUUUGGAUUACCACAAAACUUGUGGGGGGAAGCAGUGCUAACUGCUAACUUUAUUCUGAAUAGAGUUUCCCAUAAGAAAAUGGUUCAAUACCUUAUGAGUUAUGGAAAGGUAGAAUGCCUUCCUAUAAAUACUUAAAAGUGUGGGGGUGCCUAGCUAAAGUGGCUAUUCCACCUCCCAAAAGGAUUAAGUUAGGUCCUAAAACUAUUGAUUGCAUUUUUAUCGGAUAUGCAAUAAAUAGUAGUGCGUACAGAUUUCUUGUGCAUAAAUCUAAUAUAAGUGACAUUCAUGUCAAUACAAUUUUUGAAUCUCGAGAUGCUGAAUUCUUUGAAGAUGUGUUCCCUAAUAAAAGAGAUAUUCGUGAGAAUACUCUAAAGAGAACACGAGAUAAUGCUAUUGAAAACAAUAUAGAACCUGAAUCAAGAAGGAGUAAAAGAGCAAAGGUCGCUAAAUCUUUUGGUCCAGACUUUAUUUCUUUCGUAAUUGAGAAAGAGCCCCAAACAUUUAAAGAAGCUGUGACUAGUCCAGAAUCCGUAUUCUGGAAGGAAGCUAUAAAUAGUGAAAUUGAAUCUAUUAUGAAUAAUAAUACUUGGCAAUUGGUUGAUCUUCCUAAGGGAACUAAACCAAUAGGAUGCAAAUGGAUCUUUAAAACAAAGUUAAGAUCUGAUGGUUCAAUAGACAAAUACAAGGCUCGACUGGUUGCAAAAGGAUAUCGUCAGAAAGAAAGAAUUGAUUUCUUUGACACAUAUUCUCCAGUAACAAGAAUUACUUCUAUUCGGGUUUUAAUUGCUACUGCAGCCUUGUACAACUUACAAAUACAUCAAAUGGAUGUUAAGACUGCAUUCCUGAAUGGUGAUUUAAACGAAGAAGUAUAUAUGGAACAGCCAGAAGGUUUCAUAGUGAAAGGACAAGAAAACAAAGUUUGCAAACUAGUUAAGUCCUUAUACGGUUUGAAGCAAGCUCCUAAACAAUGGCACGAAAAGUUUGACAGCGUCAUGAUUAGGAAUGGAUUCGUCAUAAAUGGAUGUGACAAAUGCGUAUAUUCGAAAAAAUUCGAAAAGGCUUACGUACUCGUCUGCUUGUAUGUUGAUGACAUGCUUAUAUUAGGGACUAAUAUUGAAGUCAUCAAUAGAACAAAGAAUAUACUUACCAAUAACUUUGACAUGAAAGAUAUGGGUGAAGCAGACGUGAUUCUAGGAAUAAAGAUAUCUAGAACAUCAAAUGGAAUAGUCUUAUCUCAAACCCAUUAUGUUGAUAAAAUAAUUGAGAGGUUUAAGACUCAUAAUAUUAAAGAGACGAGUAACCCAUUUCUUCCACAUAUAGUUCUUCACAAGAAUAGUGGAAAUGGGAAACAGCAGUUAGAAUAUUCCCAAAUUAUUGGUAGUUUAAUGUACCUGAUGAAUUGUACAAGACCUGAUAUAGCUUACUCGAUAAGUAAGCUGAGUCGUUACACAAAUAAUCCAAGUAAUCAACAUUGGGAUGCAUUACUUAGAGUUUUGGGAUACUUGAAACGGACCAGAGAGUAUUCAUUACAUUAUGGAAAAUAUCCUCCAGUAAUUGAAGGAUAUAGUGAUGCCAAUUGGAUAUCAGAUACAGACGAGUCAAAAUCUACCAGUGGCUAUGUAUUUACUCUCGGUGGUGGCGCUAUAUCAUGGAAAUUUUCUAAGCAAACGUGUAUAGCUCGAUCUACUAUGGAAUCUGAGUUUAUUGCUUUAGACAAAGCAGGAGAAGAAGCAGAAUGGUUAAGACAUUUCAUAGAAGAUAUUCCUAUAUGGUUAAAGCCUGUACCGGCUAUCUGUAUUCAUUGUGAUAACCAGGCCACAAUAGCCAGGGCUGAAAAUUUUGUGUAUAACGGUAAGUCGAGACAUAUACGUCGCAGACAUAACACCGUUCGGUAGUUGCUCUCAAAUGGAACAAUAUCAAUUGAUUUUGUUAAGUCAAAAGAAAACCUAGCGGAUCCGUUCACUAAAGGAUUUUCUAGAGAGCGUAUAGACUGCGCAUCGAGGGAAAUGGGUUUAAAGCCUAAAACCCAAUGAGUCAUCUUAGUGGAAACCUAACCUGGCAACUGGAGAUCCCAUGGACUAGGUUCAAUAGGAAAACUAAUUAUGAAUGACUCGAUAAGAAGCACUUAGGAGUUUAACUCCUUCCCAUUUCUAUGAUGCAAAAAGUGCUAUGAAGUGUAUUAAGGAUAAGCUUUGCUUUUAAUGAUGACUAUAAAUGGUACAAAUAAUUACAGUAGGAUACUCUUUAUAGUGCAUCACCUAUGUUAGUGCGAACUUGGCCGGUUCUAUGAGAAUUUACUUAGGCGAAUUCUCUAAAGCACUCGCAGAACCCAAGUAGUUCAGGGCCGAAAUAAUGAACACAAUAGAGAACCAAGUUUGAUAUGAGAGAUAAUGUGUUUGGUCUGUUGUCUGAGCUUGCAAUAACGGCUGACAGUUCAAAACGUUACGUUCACUGAUUAGCCAAGUGAGUUCGAUAGAUUCUUACUAAAGAAGGUUCAAAGCGAAAGCUACCUAUCUUGAUGCGUUAUCUUUCAGAUAGUACUCUUCUUUCGUCUUCCUUGAUCUGAGUCGACUUCUUCCAUUCAUGUGGGGGAUUGUUGGAAUUAAUUGAAUUUGAUUUGGGUUUGAUUUGGGUUUAAAAUAUUAAAUGUAAUAUUUAAUGAUAUGGGCCAUUGCAAUUAAUUUGGGUGAAUUGGAAAAGUCUCCAAUAUAGGCCCAUAUGUUGAUAAGCCCAUUUUAAGUGUUUUUUAUAUGGAAAGGAGUCCCACAUCGAAAGUUUACAAGAAAAUAGUCUUGUUUAUAUAGUGGGUUGUGUGAAUAAUAUAUAAUUUAACAUGUUACCUACCACUUGGCUAACUUUAGCUAGCCAAAGGCUAGCAAACUAGCCAAAGGCUAGUCACCACUGGAGUGGUGCUUCGCACCACUAGCACCGCUCCCCGGACCCGGUCCCGGCACGUAUACGCGCACGUCACAAAGUACGCAUUGGGCGCUUUAGAGGCGCACUUGGCACGUACGCAUCGUCGCGAGGAGCUGGGGAGCCUUAUAGUUUUCGGAAAUGGACUCGUGGUUCGAUGAGGUGGCAACACAAGGCUCGGUGAGUUGGCAUUCUAGUGGCGCACGAGUGGUCAGCAUUCUAGGUGGCGCACGAGUGGUAGGUCGCGUCCCUUCAUCCUGCAUGGCGGUUAGAUGUACGCGUGGCAUCCGCAUGGCUGUGACUAUUCAGAAAUUGGUGAAUAGGCAUGAUGAAUGGACACUUCACUUCAUGGUUCAAUUUGGGCCGUCAGAACAUAAAAAUAGUGCGAUCCAAUGGCUAAGACGAAUCAAACCAAGUGGUGCACCAGUUCCUGAAAUGUCACACACCUGUUCCAUGAGACACUUCAAUCUCUAUAAAUAGGGACCCCCAGAUUCGUUUUUUGAUACACCAAAUCAAUUACGAAUUCAAUUGAUUUCUAAAUUCUUCUCUCUCCAUAUUCGUCUCCAAAAAAAAAAAAUCUCUUAUACUUUCGUGGUUAUUCCGUUCAAGUACGAUCAUUCAUUGGUUCGACCGACAAGGUUGGUAUUGUGCAGUAUCGACUUUGGAAGGAGCGUUGUAUCUUGGGAGACAGACGUCCAUAAUCCCGUUUGCACUUUAUUGGGAGGCGAAAUCUGUCUUAAGGAGAUUUGCUUACUUUAUUAGCAUACCUCGCUUCAUUUACUGUUUAUUUUUCUGCUUAUUUUAUUUUUUCUUUUGAUUGCGUUAGUCGAAUUUUCGACAACAUAUAUUGCUUGAAACUCUUCGCAGAUUAAUUGCUCCACUGCUUUGGUGAAGUACUUAACUUAGUUUGGUGGCAGGCACACAAUUCAUCUUUUAUCUCACCGUGAAUGCCUAAAUAUCAAUAGGAGCGACAUAACCUAUUUCUUCUGUGCUAAACAAUUGAACUAAUUAUUUCUUAGGGUUAAGUGCUCUCUCCCAGUCUUCAGGUCGCUAUUACUUUGGCUGCUCUACCUCCGCCCACUGUUGAGACGGUUGUCGAUGGUGUAAUUAGGGAGAAAGAAUAGAAAAAUCACUUGAGGAUGAAUUGAGUUCUAAUCUAUAUGAUAUUCGAAUAUACUCAGUCAUAAUCAGUAAGGCUUAAUGCCCCUCAAUAUAAGAGGUUCUCUCGUUAUAUUGAAAUAAAAAAAAAAACUAAAUAUUCUAGCUAUCAAUUACAAUUAAUCAUUAAUGGUAACUUAUGAAAUACGGUAGCUUCCUUAUAUAUGAGCUUUCCUUAUAUUCCACUGACAGAAAUUUCCGAUGCCUCCCAAAUAAAUGGUUAUUUCUAGAAUGAAAGAAGAUGAAAUAAGAACUGUAGUUGUGUUAAAAGUUUACACAAUUCUUUAACUUUAAAUCUCAUAAAAAAUUAGCUCUUCUAAAUGUGAAAAGAAAACAACUAAAAUGCUAGAGGGAGUCCAGGACUACGAGCUGCUGGGUAUAUUCUUUUUAAGUAACUCAUAGAGUUGGCAUUUAGUCACGAGAAUAUUGAAACAAUUAUGAUGUGGAGUGUAAUUGUAAAAAGAAGAAAAUAGGUACUACUACUAGAAUCAGUACUUACAUAGCCUUCAUUGAUCCAAUGUCUGCAAGGUAAUUAGGAAUGCUUCCAGUUAUGUUACAGCUACUUAACGUCCUGCUAGCACGCAACAUAUGUAUAAAAUAAUAUGGUUCUAAAGGAAAUUAUCACAAUCUUCUAAGUUCUUUAUUGAUUUAGUGUGACAUUUACUCACAAAUACGUAAGGUUUCUCAUGUCUUUUAGCAGUGGGAACUCUGAAGCACCUCCAUUCAAGUUACUAAUAAUUCUGUAGAGAUAUCACAUUACAUCAGUUGUCAUCUUUACCAUCAAUGUAUAGUAAAUGAACAAAAUAUUGUUAUUGAAGUAUUGACAAACUGAAAUCUGACUGAAUAGGUUUCAACUCACAGUUCCUCUAAAUUUUUUAAGAUGGAAAUACUAGGAGGUAUGGGUCCUUCAAAACCACUGCCUUUUAUCACUCUGUUGAUAAUAAAUUAAUAAUGUCACGUAAACAAAAGUCGCAACUGUAAAUAUUGCAUUUUGGAAAAUGCUCAUUCAGGAAAGGACUUACAAGCUCUUAAGGUUUGUCCAGCUCCGAAAAUUAGGUAAUUUUCCAGUGAAGUUGUUACUGAUUAGCCAACUGCAUUGGCCCCAAAAGACAUGUUAUCAUUAAAAUAGCAGAAAACUGUUUGCACCUUUCCAGAUUAAAAAACUUUAUGCUUUGAGAAAUGUGUGGUAAAAUACUUACAGGUCUGUCAACAUUUUUAGAUUAUUUAAUUCAAUCGGCAACUCACCAGUGAGAUUGUUAUCAUAUAGAUAGCUGCAGUGACCAAAAAAGACAAGUUACACGUACAUAAAUGGGUAAAUUACAGCCACUAUUUCUAACCUUUUGUUGGAGUAAUUUUCAAAAGAAUGUCGUUUAGACAUUGGUAAAUUAAAUCAAGGAAAUACAAUUCAAAAAGCACUUGAUCAAGAUGUGACAAGAACGAGAGACGUAGGAACGGACGAAAACUUGAGCCAGUUUGCAAAGCAAACUAGUGCAGGUGGGCAACAUGGAAGUGCUCUUGUGCUUCCUGGUUCGCGCAGGUGCGCUACCAUGUUGUCCACCUGCACUAGUUUGCUUGGUUGGCGCAGAUACGCUGCUUGUGCUGGGCAGCCUUGAGAUUAAGCCAGCAGCUGUAAGAACUUACAUUUUUAGAGAACGUAAAUAGCAAAAAUGAAUAGGAAAGUUUCUGUGUAUUGAAGAUAAAAGUCUCGCUAAUUGUACGUUAUGUGGUCCUUAAAUAUGAAUGGAAAAAUGCAGCACUAAUUAUAGUUGUUUACAGCUGCACACUUUUUGAAAAUUUCAACUAAACUAUCUAAUUCUUCAGCUCACUUCCAUGUCAGCUUCUUCUGGUAAUCUCAACAGCCCCCUUCAAGGUGGAGUGUAUAUGUUGCACAUAUUCAUCUUGCACAGUAGAGAAUGAAACAGAGAUACUCCCACUGGUUUUGUCAUAAUAUCUGCUAGUUGAUUACCUAAAGAGACAUGCAUGGUGUGUAAAAUUCCAGCCUUAAUCUUGUCCCUUACUAAGUGACAAUCUAGUUCGAUAUGUUUUGUUAUCUCGUGAAAUAUAGGGUUGACAGCGAUGUGUAAUGCAGCUUGAUUAUCACAAUAUAACAAUGCAAGCUUCUUAUGUUUGAUUCCCAAGUCAGCUAGUAGGUAUAAAAGCCAUUGAACUUUGCAUGUAGCAAAUGCCAUAGCACGGUAUUUAGCUUCUACUGAAGAUCUGAAAACUAUACUUUGCUUAUUAGACUUCCAGGAUAUUAAAGCAUUUCCUAAAAAGGAACAAUAUCUAGUUAUAGACCUCCUUAAAUCAGGGCAACUUGCCCAAUCUGAAUAUGAAAAGAUUUUCAACCGUAAGUCAUUUUCUUUAGGGAAGAAAAUCCUCUGUCCUGGCAUGCUCUUGAUAUAUCUCAAUACCCUAUAAGUUGCAUUCAAAUGAGGUUUCCUUGGUUGGUUUAUAAACUGACUUAACACUUGAACCACAUAACUCAAAUCAGGCCUAGUAAUGGUUAAGUAUAAUAACCGUCCCACCAGCCUCCUGUAGAUUGAUGCAUCAUUCAAUAAUUCUUCACUUUCUUUGUCCAGUUUAAUGUUCAACUCCAUUGGUGUGUUUGUUGGUUUAGCACCACUGAAGCCAACAUCUUCUAAAAUGUCUAUGGCAAAUAUUUUUUUACACAAAGAAAUUCCCAUCUUAGACCUAGCCACCUCCAGUCCUAGGAAAUAUUUCAAUGCCCCUAGAUCCUUUAUCUUGAAUUUCAUAUCAAGAGAAGCCUUCAAAUCAUUCAUGCCUUGCAAAUCAUUUCCUGUCAAGACAAUGUCAUCCACAUAUACUAGAAGAGCAACAAAAGAGCCAUUUCUAUUUCUGGUAAAGAGUGAAAAAUCUGAGAACUUAGUGAACCAUUGCCUUGAGGCUAGUUUUAAGCCGUAUAAAGACUUGUUCAGCCAGCAUACCAUAUUGUGCCCUUUGCCGAAUUUUCAUGUAUAUUUUCUCAUUCAAAUCACCGUGUAAAAAAGCAUUGUUGACAUCCAAUUGUAAGAGGUCCCAAUCUAUAGCAGCAGCUAUAGCUACCUUUAAGGAAAUCAUCGCUAAUUUGGAGACUUUGGAAGUCAAAUAUAAUGAAGAAGAUUUGUGAUUGAUUUUAUUGUGUUCAUUGUCCACUUCAUACAUGUCUUUUAGAGACACAAUUUUAUAUAAUUGUGAUAUUCUCACCAACGAAGAAAUCUAUGAUGUUCUAUAUUCAAAGGAGAAGAUGAAGUCUCUUGUUGCAUAUGAGAGUCUUUGAGAUGACUUCAUUGUUGAUGGUGGUCAUUCAAAGGAUAAGUCAAAAAUCUAACUUCAAAUUUUAUAAUUAUUACAAAAAAGGGGGGCACUAGAUAAAUGAUUGUUAUAAGUUGUAGAAUAAAUCAAAAUUGACUGCAAAUAAACAAUCAGAAAUUUUAGGAAAAACAAGUAUUGCAAAAAAAAUCCUAACAAUGAUGGAGAGCUUUUACUUAUGUCUAACUACAACUCCAAAUUUAACGAGGCUUGGAUUUUUUAUGCUGCUUGCACUUUUUAUAUGACUCCUAAUCGAGAUUUGUUUUCAACAUAUGAAGAAGUUUUAAAAGGUAUUGUAAUGAUGGGUAAUAAUACACAUUGUCGAAUUAAAAUAAAGAUGUUUGAUGGGAAGGUUAGAACACUUAAUGCAGUGAGGUGUGUUCUAGAUUUGAAUAAAAAUCUUAUCUCCUUAAGUACUCUUGAUUCAAAAGAGUACAGUUAUACUUUUGAAGGUGGAGUCCUGAAAGUUAGUAAAUCAGCAUGUGUUUUGUUAAAGGGAUAUAGAAAAUUCCAUUUAAAUAUCUUGCAGUGUUAUAUAGAAUUUUUGAGCAAUCAGCAUAUUUUAAGAACUCAGGUGGAUUUGGAGUUGGAUUCUAUAUUGUUGGAGCCUAAUUUUAGGCUUUUUUUUUUUUUUUAAGAAUACAUCUCAGUUGAAUUUAGAAGUUAUAGGUAAAUCCGCCUUACCACCAUCAUCGAUGGUGUCAUUGUAUUUAGUUGCUUGUAAUAAACCUAUCUUUGGCCAUAAUAUUUCACAUAGAUACAAUUCUAUUGAUUUAGUUGAUGGUUUGAAUGUGAUUAAAGGUGUUGAUUCUAGCCAAGAUCCUUCUUUUAAUGUAUUCAGUUGUAAUUCUAUUAUAGGGGCUUGUUUCAACCUUGUUUGGUGGUCAUUAGUUUACUUUCUCCUUUAAUUGAGGUAGUAGAGGUGGAGAAUGUUUCGGUUGAAUUUUUUUAUGGAGAAGUUCGUUUGUGUCCUUCAGUGAAUAUUUGAAGUUUUUUCCUUGUAGUGGAAUUUGUCUUCAAGUGGAGAAUUUUUUUCUUUUGAAGUUUUAUUCAUUGUAGUGGAAUUCGUGUCAAGAUAGAGAUUGUUAGAAUUUGGCUGUGACCCGAAUUCUUUGUUGAAGAUAAUUGAGAGUUCUAAUUAAAGUGCACAUUAGGAAAAAUUCUUUUUGGACUGUUUUGUGGAAUUCUAUUCAAGUUUACUUGGCAAAUUCUAGUUAAAGUUCUACUUGAAAGCCCAUUAUGAAUUGAAAUUUGUGUUAAACUUGAAUAGAAUAUUGUGAUGAAGAAAAUCAAGUUUUUGAAGUAAAGGACCUGAGAGUGGGAUCCACAGCACCACGACGCUACCUACUUUGUUUCACCUGGUGUGAUUUUUCUUUCUCUACUUCAGCCACAACUCUACUAUUAGGAUUUGAACGUGCCCCUAUUUAUUCCUUAUAUAUAGUUAGCUUUUCAUUAUGAUUUAGAAGAAGUUAGAAACAUUGUAAACACAAAUCUUUGUAUUAUUUUUUCAUAUUAUAAUAAAAUUUCCAUUCUCUACAAAUUAUUUUGGUCUUGUGAUUAAUUACUUCAUAUUGUGGCUACAAUCUCCUAUUUUCCCCGAUAGUUUGGUAUUGGAUUAAUCCGGUAUCAUCUUCGUUUGAUAACAAUAAGUCUAUCUCCAUGAGUGUCGAUGAUGGUUUAUCUCCAAAGUGUCUUGACUAGCUACUUAAGAUAUUCUUGAAAAUUAAGGAUAUGGGACACGUGGCGUAUUUACAUGUUGAUUUAUAUGAACACACGAGGAUAUAAAACUUGUAUAUGAAGUUUUUCGCUUAGCCAUAUAGGGUUGUUGGUUCAAAGCUUGUCUACCAUAUCGCUUUGGUUAAUAUUUGGUCUAUGCAUAGAGUUUGUGAUGUCUAUAUGAUAGAUUGUAAAACUAUCACUCAUUUUGGAAAUUGUAGAGAAUUGUUGAAAUAAUUUUCAAAAAAACGCCGUUUAGACAUUGGUAGUUUAAAUCAAGGAAAUACUUCAAGAAGCGUUGGAUCAAGAUAGGACAAGAACAAGAGAUGACAAAACGGACCAAAACUUGCACUAGUUUGCAACAUAAAUUAGCACAGGUACGCCCAAGGCUAGUGCACCUGCGCUAGUUGAGUAAUUGAAGCGUAGGUACUCUGCCUUGUUGAUGCAGGUGAACUGUUGGCUAGUGCACCCGUGCUGCCAAGCGACAACAAUGGUGUCUUUUCGUCCCUAACUGAUGUUUGAUGGUUAGAAUUCAAUUUUUUUCAGUUUGUAUUGAUGUAGUUCAAACUCUAAUAAUUAUCUUGAAGUGUUGUAACUCUUGGGAAGAUGUGUAAUAUAAUUUUAAUUCGUUUUUACUCUACCAUUUUCUACACUUUCUUGCAUCCAAAAUACCAACUUUAGUGCAUUCAUAUCUUCUUGAAUAUUGUUUGUAUUUAUCAUACUGCAGAUAUAAAGUGGAAAUUUUGAGUAGAUUUUCCACUGUUCGGGUUGUCUUCGUAAGAAAUCCCAAACAACACUAAAGGGCUUCAUUAUAUCCUAUAGACGUAUUUGCAUUCCGUGUGCAUCACAGAAUGGUGGAAACAAAUAACAUCUUAAGGAAAGAGAUAUUUGUUAUAUGCCUUGAAGCCGGUAUUGUUUUAAGUUCGAGUUUUUGCGAUAUUCCAACAUCUAGUUUCGUCUAAUCGUCAUCUCUAAACUGAUCUCACCAACACCUUUGAACCUCGUUUUCGUAAUCUACCUAUAUAAAUUCAACUAAUUCAAUCCGUCAAUUUGUUAAAAUCUGGAUGAUCGAAAACGUCUUACAGA
Molecule: long non-coding RNA, 54039 nt
Filed under: Olea europaea (common olive)
Lineage: Eukaryota; Viridiplantae; Streptophyta; Magnoliopsida; Lamiales; Oleaceae
Description: long non-coding RNA (OEUR_LNC002545)
Source: RNAcentral